RNAcentral lists this long non-coding RNA (64176 nucleotides) under Solanum tuberosum (potato). RNAcentral describes it as "long non-coding RNA (STUB_LNC011449)". Lineage: Eukaryota; Viridiplantae; Streptophyta; Magnoliopsida; Solanales; Solanaceae. The record is from RNAcentral.
UCUUCUUUUUUUUCUUUCUUUUUUUACAUCAAGCCCUCAUGUGGUAAGUAUCCCUUUAAUGAAUUUCCCUUAACAACUCCAACUUAGGCUUUUAGCCUCAACUUUCACAACCUUAAGUUCAAGGAAGAAAGGGUUCAAAAGAGGGUUACCUUUUCAAAAACGAUAAGACUUGUAAUGUGGUUACCAAUAAAAAGGAUUAGGCUCAAAGGGGACAACUAAGGAUAUAUUUAGCGCAAAGGUGGGAAUUUUAAGCCAAGUGGACUUCAAGAACAUCAAAGAAAGCCUAAGAUCAUUUGUCCAACCAAACUCAAUCAAGACCUACAUUUCAAGACCAACCGGGCAAGUUGUAGGUGACAAAAGCGAACACAAGGCAUUAUUCAACAACUCACCACACAUGGCAUGCAAAUCAAUCAAGAUGGUUCAAAAUCUUACUUCCUUUUCAAAAUACAAGUAGCAUUGAACAUUUUAACUGCCAACGAAUCAAAAGUCACAAAAAAAGUUGUAAGAGUUGUCACAAAAUCAUUUAUAACAUGCUCAACCUUUUAAAAACAAAGAGGUAUGCUUAACAUUAUUCACAUGUAUGACUAUGUUCUUAGUACCAACCAAGUCAAAACCUUCCCGAAAUGACGACGAUUUUGCCCUUAAGAAAGUCAUUAGCCAAUCCAUCAUCAGGCAACCUCAUGCAUCUAUUCGGGAAUGGCUACCCAAACUUCACCCUAAUCAACGCCAAUCAAACACUCACAAGCAAUCAACGAUUUAUCCUUAAGAAAGUCAUCACUCUCUAUCCAUCAUCGGGCAUCAUCAAUCCAAAUCUUGUUAUCAAAACAAAAACAAAGAAGCUACAAACUACAAAUUAAAAACUAAAAUAGACCAAUCCAAUGCAAUAUCAACAAAAACAUCCACAAUAUCAAAGUCCGACAAGGGCACACCAGUCCAUAACAAAGAAAGAAAAGUAUGCCUGACAAGGAUACAAUCACCAUAUGCAGAAAUAAUCAAUAAAAUGACUACAAGGGGAGCAUCCCCAACUGAAAAUGAGACUGUGUCCUUACUUCGGGACAAGUAAUCAUCAUAUUUUCGGGCCCAUUGUUACUAUAGGAACCUACUCUCAUCAAAAGUACUCUUUCUCCUCAAUUUUGCCUAUAGGAAAAUAGUCUAAUCUCUCAACCUCCCAAGGUAAGGAUAAGGUCGGUGUACACUCUACCCUCCCCACACCUCACUUUAUGAGAUGAUGUUGUGUACGUUGUUGUUGUUGUUGUUGUAGGUGAAAUCAAAUUCGAAACUUCAACAAUCCAAUUCCACUUCCCUAGAAAAUUCUAUACAAAUUAAAUCUAAAUCUCCAAUUACAAUUAAAAUUCAAAUAUAAAAAACAAGGAAACUUUUUUUAUGGGGUUUCUUACUUCAAGAACCUUGUUAUUUUGAGAUUUAUCCACACUUUUAAUCGCAAAAUACUCGAUUGUCAUCUUCUUUCUUCCUUUAUAUAGCAUCUGCAAAAGACAAAAAAAAAACAAAAAAACCCUAAACGACGCAAUCAACCUAAAGCGCAAACAAAAGAAGAACAAAGAAAGAAAAAAAACCAUUACCAGUGUCUUCCAUGGCCAAAAACUUCAUAUAUAUGAUACUGAUUCAUAUUUUUUUCACUUGCUCAUACAAAAUCACUUAGCAAGGGUUUUAACUCUUUUAGUCUGCAAAAAAAAACUUAAACAACACAGUUAACCUAAAAACGCAAACAAAAGAAGAACAGAGAAAGAAAAAAACCAAUACCGAGUGUUUCUGUGGCCAAAAGCUUCGUAUAGAUGAUACUGAUUCAUAUUUUUCACUGGCUCACACAAAAUCACUAAGCUAGGGUUUUUCCUCUUUUCCUGCAUCUGAAAUUGAAACUAAUCAAAGAGAUUAUUGAAGAAUUUCAUUGAAAUCGAUCAAAAAUUCUUCAUUGAAAUCAAGAAUUUCAUUUAAAAACGGCAAGAUUUGUGAGGAUGAGAAGAGAGUGUAUGUGUGCAACAGUACGAUAGGGGUAUAUUGAAAUGAAAUGAAAAUUAUUUUUCUUUUAGAGAAAAGGAAAUUUAAAAAAUUAGAAUAGGGGGCAAAAAAAGUAUAUUUUGUUUGUUUUAUAAUUGUCCACUAAUUAGUGUACUAAAAUUUGCAUCCAUAAAUACAUUUUUAGUUGAUUAAGGUAUAAUAUCUAAUUUGAAAACAAUUUUACUUCUAUUUUUUAGUUUUACGAGAUAAAUAUGCUUUAUAUUAUAAAAAAAAGUUAUUUUAGUUAUUGAAAAAUGAGCAUGUUUGAUCAAAUUUUUGAAAUAUGUUUAUUUAAAAUAUAUUUUUGGUCAAAUAGAAUUUCAUAACUAUUUUAUUUGGGGAGAGGGAGAAAGUAGGGAUGGAAAUUGGGCGGUGUGGGGUGGUGGUGGCAAUUGGACGGUGUGGGGCGGGGUUGGGGUGGGUUGAGAAAGUAUGUCCAGAAGAAGGCAAGGCCAAAAGAUAAAGUAUAUGAUUAUAAAGUGGGUUUAGAGUAUGCUAGCUACUUAAUGACGCAUACAAUAUAGGUUGGAUUUGCAAUAAUACAUUCAUACUUGACAUUUAUCGGGUCGGCAAAAUAACAAAUUAAGGCUUUGUUAUUUAGCUAGCGUUUGGCCACAAAUUUUUAAAUAUUUUUGAUAAAUAUUUUCGGGUGAAGUUUCAUUAUGCGUUUUACCAUAGAUUUUGAGAGAAAUAUUUUACUUUUAAAAAAAAUAUGAAUUAUACCUAUAAGUUUUAGAAACUAUUUAAAAUACCCAUGAUUUUUUAUUAUCAUUUUAUAAUGAAAAUGUUCAACGAAAAGUCAUGACAACGAACAUAAUGAAUAUGAAUUUGAAAAAAAGAGGAAAAAUACAAAAGGAAAAUACCAUUGAUUUUAUACAAAAAAAAAACUACUAUUACAACAUGUAAUUGGAAGUAAUUUCGGAGAACACGUUCAGAUAAAAUUGUAUAAAAUAUGCGAAAUAAAAUUUGUACAACAAACAAGGAAUGAAAUUUAGUCUUUAUAAAAUAUUAAAACAUGGGAUAAUUUUUAAAUUUUUAUGAUUCCAAUUUUCCCAUGUUUGGUUGGCUUAAAUAUUUUGAAAAAUGUUUUCCAAAUCAACUCAUUUUCCUCAAAUUUAAGGAAAUUGACUUUCCAUAAAAAAUUAAGAAAAAUAUUUUCCAAAACUCUACUUCAUCCUUCAAUAUAUUUUUCUUACCCUACCCCGUACCCUAUCCCCCUAUCCAAGAAAAAAUAAUUUAGUUUAAAUUUUCUUAUUUUUUAAAUUUCAUAUAUUUUUACCCCCUCCCCAAACCAUUCCCCCCUCCCCCUAACAAAAAAAAUAAAAUAAAAAUUUUGAAAAAUAUUCCAAGUUUUAAUUUUUUUUUUUACCUCACUCAACCCCUACCACCUAUGCCCUCUCCUCCCACAACAAAAUUGUUUUGGUUAAAAAUUUCAAAUUUUUAAAAAAAUCAUUUUUACGCUCACCUCCCCCCCCCGACCCCCCAAAAAAAAAGUUCAUAAAAAUAUAGUUUGGUAUGAAGGAAAACAUUUUCUGGAAUUGUUUUCUAAUUUUUCCAUGUUUGGUUGACUUAAAUAUUUUGAAAAAUGUUUUUCAAAUGAACUCAUUUUCCUCAAAUUUAAGGAAAAUGACUUUCCUUCAAAAAUUAAGAUAUUAUUUACGUUCAUUACAUAAUACAUAAUUAAUUUAAGAUUUUCAGGUAUAGACUUGUCAAUGAACUGAUUUCAUAAGCUUAACUUUAUCAACAACAAUAAAAAAAAUUAAUAAACUUAAUCGUCAAAUAUAAGGUCGUGCACUUAGGAAAACAAUUUCAGUGUCACAAAGUAUUGCACAAAUUUGUGCAUAGCAUGGUCUAUAGGGUGACACAUAGAGAUGACUUCUUGUACCCACCGUAAGCCAUAUGGAUGGAUGCCAUUCUUGACAUGCAAACAACCCGAAGUAAACAAAUAUUGUCUGAAGGAUCAUCCUCGGGCCUCAGGGAAGGCCCUUAUUCAAAGAAGAGAAUUAUGGGAGUUGCUAGACUAUCAACCUUUAUAUCCAUUUAAUCCAAUCCAAAGAAAAUAUAAAUCUUAUUUUUAUAAGAAACGGAAGAGGAAAAGGAUGUAUGAUAUCAACAUUUCCUACCUAUUGUUGAAUAAUUCUAGAGUUUCACUAUGAGUUGAGUUAGUAAUUACAAUCUGAUAACAAUAAAUCAAAUUUUGAAACAUAUGCGAAAUAGAGGAAACACUUUUCUCCUCUGACAGAAAGUACACCAGCCAUGAGAUCACUAUAACCGAAUAUGAACUUAGUAGCUGAAUGCACCACAACAUCUACAAAACCACAGACAAGUAAGUUAACAUUCAAUGCAUGUUAUUGGUGAGUAAUCCAGUUAGCAAAACAAAAAGUGUUUGAAAAAUACCUACUCUGAGCUCCAAGGAUGGGACAGUACUAUGGAGAUAAUAUUGUUAUCUACUAGCACAAGAGCCCCAUGUGCAUGAGCCAUCUUGACAAUUUUCAGUGAUAACUCAGAAGAGACAACAGUAUGAGACAAAAAAUCAUUAUCUUUUGAAGAUUUAUAUAUAGCUAUAUAUUAGCAACAUUAAAAGAUGAAAAUUGUACGUGCAUAAUCUACAUAUGCCACUGUCAAUAACCCAUAUUAAUAUCACAAAUUUGUGUAUUGGGGUUGGUUGGACUUUCCAGCCAAACAUGAUUUGCCCAUGGUUUAAUCACAAAAGCAACCUCAUCUUAAGUUAGUGGUAUCCACUCGCCUGUACAAAUAAGAUAACAAUCAAGAUUCUAAUAACCUAAUGGAAAACAAAGUUACAUCGACAAUAAAGAUUCUAAUCACUAUUCCCUCCGCGUUGGUGAAAGAGUGUUGUGUUAGUGGACGUUCUGGGUACGGGUUGGCUUACCUACUUGUGGGUUAUAGUAGGUGCCAUCGUGACUCGGGAAGUCAGGUCCUGACACAAAUAUGCUUUAGUUGAGUUGGAUAUGAAACAGUCCAACACACUAUCUCCUCGUCUUUCUGUUAGUUUUAGAGUAAGGCUCCAUGUCUAGGUUAUUUUGCUUAUGCUUCUUAUUCGUUGUUCAGAUUUCCCCUAUCCUUGAUUGUGCUAGUGUCAAGUAAGAUAUGCUUCCAUCUCUUUAUGUUACUCAUUCUUAAGGUUUGCUAUUAGAUGUGGUAUUCAAAGAGAAACAAGGCUUCACACAUUAUUUACUUUCAAUAUGCUAUACAUAACUGACUAAAGAUUUUUAGAUAUAGACUUGUCAAUGAACUGAUUUCUUAAACUUUCCUUAACUUUAUUAACAACAACAAAAAAAAUUCUUAAACUUCAUGGUCAAUUAUAUUUCAAUUAGAAUGUAAUUAGGAUAAUCAUCAGAUUACCUGGAAAGGAGUUUCUCCGCCAGUUUAAGCAGAUUUGCCAACUGUUUCAGAACCUAAUGACUAGCAACACUUCUUUUUAGUGAAUCGUACCCAAGAAGAUGGAUAACAACAGGAAAUAAAUGCAUACUAUUCUUAGAAUAAUUUUGACUUGUGACGCUAAUUAUCUGCCCACGAUGUUUACCACCUUUUAGUUGCUGAAUGUCCCUAGAUAUACACUCAAUCAAACUUGGUACAGUUGAUGCGGCAAUCAUCCCAAGGGCAUCUAAACACUACUUAACAACGUCAUCCUUCUCCUUAACCAACCUAUCAACGGUUGAGAGGAAUUUAGCAUUGCAAAAAAAUAGUGGCAGCCACCUGUUCCCAUUCAUACAAAGUAGAGCCACAAAUCUGAGUGCCUUUCCCUUCAAAACUUCACUUCCCUGCUCAAUUAGAGUCAACAGAUUCAAAAAAAGAUUCUUGUCUUCGACUAAGGCAAGAAGGGACAGUGUAUCACUUUCAAGGAGGGUCAUGUUCAGAAUGUUUAAGCAGAUUUGUUGCUCUCGUAGAUUAUGCUUGACGAGUCUUGAAAACAUAUCCUUGAAUGAAAGUUAUUCCAUGACUCGUUGAAUAAGGGUUAAAAUGAACAAGACGAGCCAAGUAAGACCCUGUUGUUAGCCUCGUGAUCUCCUGCUUUCCAAGAGCCCUAAAUAUGUAUCAGAGGUUAGUCAUGAUAUCUUGGAUGGUGAAAUGAGCUGACAAUACCCUCCUUGACUGAAGAUAUUUUCAAUAGUCCUUAGAGCAUAAAUUUGAGUAAUAUUAUCCUCUCCGUUUCGUAAAAGCGAUGAAACCAAUGAAAUUAAUGGACUUGGAACCUAUAACAUUAACAUUUCUAGUAAGGAAUGUUAAGACAUAAUGUGAGGCUUUGCAAUAUGUAAAGAUGGUACAGAUGCUGGUAUGAUUUUAUCUUUUUUUUUUUACAACCCCAAGAGAAAUAUCUUAACACAUUUGUUUAUGAUUUUAUCUGAUAUAUAGUGUUGCACCUAUAAGAAGUUACAACAACAAAGAUACCUGCCAAUAGGAUGAGGGUCGGUUGUCCUUAGAUGGAGAUUCCAUUGGUUUAUUAUCCCGAGCAUGUUCAUUUUGAGUAGAUAUAUAAAAUAGUAAUUCACCCAAAGCAGCCAUGGAAAACCUUCUCACUUUCUCUUGCCUGUCUCUCAGACCAUCAGUUCGUGCACCUAAUAUUCCAAGAUUUGCCAGCUCAUCCCCCAAAAAAGUAGAGUGAUGAAUCAACAAGCCAAUAAGUGAAGCAAGUUAAGCAUGCAACAGAGAAACCUUGGGGUCACGAAGCAUUUUGAGUAGAACCAAUACAAUAGACCCAUUGGUCAAGAUGUUGGCUACAACAGCAUUGCUGCUCAAAAGCUCAAGGUAUUUGAUCACAUUUUGCUUCUCCCCUGAGGGAGUAUUCCCCCACUAACAAUACUGAUGAGUCUACUAUUCUAAUUGCACUUUUAACAUUUGGACAAAAAUCAGACAGUUGAGGUGCAUCAAAUGAAACUGAAGGAUUUGCAUCUAAACCUUUAUCUGAUUUUCUGCUAGAAAUUAUAGGUCUGACUGAGAGAUCAGAUGGAUAACGAAUAAUAUUUGAAAGGUUCGUAGAUGGUUUUGAGAUAUCAGAGAAAUCAUAUUUUUAUAAGAACUAAAAGAGGAAAAGGAAGCAUGAUUGAACUUUAACGUCAUAUAAUUGGUCAAAAGCACUUCUAAACAGUUUUUCUUUAAUGAACUUCCAAACAGUUAUACCACCAAUUUAACUUUUCCUUUGUUCAUUUUAGGGCAAAAAUGAGGGGAGAGAGAGGUGAACUACCUGGGAGGAAGGUUUCUUUUAUAUAUCACACAAUUUUCUUGCUAAUCCAAAAUCACACAGCUGCCAGGAAACAAAUAGAACUUCAACGUUAUAUAACUGGUCAAAAGCACUCAUCGUGGAAAAGUCACAACAUAAAUAUCACCAUACCUUUGUGAUUCCAUUUUCAUCCAACAGGAUGUUUGAUAGCUUUAAGUCACAGUAAAUUAUUCCCUUUGAAUGCAAGUAUCUGGUACAGUAGACAAAACACCAAAAAAGUAAUUCAUGACGAAAACAACAAGUGUUACAAAAGAACAAAGAAGGCUAAAGUUACUUACUUACAAAAGAGCUCUAACAAGGCCACAAGCAAGUUCAUGUAUUGAAUAUUCAGGAAGCUUGCCAUCCUUCAACCAGAGAUUUAAUGAUGUUAAAAAUCUCCUAGGUAUGGUUUAAACUAAAAUACAGGUAAGAUGAUGAAGAUGCAAGUUGUGACAUUACCAACUACAGUAAACUGUGGUCAUUUUGACUACUCUUUAAAUACAAUAAAAAAGAAACCUAUUUCUUUAACAUCAUUUUACUGGCACAAGAAACAAGUUAGUCCAAAGAGUGAGAACCUUUAUUUGUGAGACUACAAGCAAUCAUCUCUGUUAAAGUGUUCAAUCGCACAUGACACUGAUGUCCUUAGUGCCUGUUUGGGAAAUCCCAAUGUAGGCAUGCAUUAAAUUUACCAUGAAACCUCAAUAUCUCACACCUCUACUAGAAAAAGACCAAGAAUAAUUAGGGUGUUGUCACAAAUUUUUGAUGUUCGUGUGUAAUGUCGGCAUAAGGAAUCCUCUAUUCCAACAUAGUAUGUAUACCUCUAGAACAAUGAAAUGUAUUUGUAAGAUAGUAGACCUGCCAGUGCUUACUUGCUGCAACAAGCUUAUGAGAUUUCAUCCAACACAAUAUUCUAAAACCAACCACAAGUGUGGAAAUGUUUCAUACCUAUGGAUCGGUUGAAUUAAAAAUAAGUCAGAGAAAUCUUCUUAUUAAACACCAAAAUUAUCUUUAACACAGAAACGUAAUUGAAGAAAAAGAAAGGAAUUAGAUGCAAGACAGGAAAAAAAAAUAUGAUCAUUUGUUCACGAGACUUCAAAUUUAUGCCACGGAAUAAGAAAACUGUGUUAUCCAGUAACAUAACAUUUUCCCUCUAUAUCUAUUCCUCUAAAAAAGUUGACUACAAUUAAAAAUCAAUAGUAUUAUGAAGUUCACAAAUUUCUAAGUGAGCUAUUGGGUAGCUAAUAAAUUUUGCAGAUUGGUUCCCAAUUAAAUCAUAAAUUCUCAUCUUCCCAAUAGGGUGGCUUAGCAAUCAAAUAGAUCAAGUAACAGCUUGGGAACUAAGGUUCAAAUUUCACAAUAGACAACACAAGGUGAUAUCUUAUCAUCCACCUAAAUCUUGAUGUGCAUAGUUAAACAGAUAGUACUAUGUACUACAAUACAUGGUGUCCCAGAUACCAUUGUUAUCAAGAGGAUAAAUUAGGCACUUCCACAAUUUUAUCAUCGGAGGUGCAAGCAAAUACAACUAAGGGUCUAUCAAAAACAGUUUAAUCUCUUUUCCUCCCAAGGUAAGGAUAAGGUCAAUGUAAACUCUACCCUCCUCAAACCCCUUUUUAUAACAUUAUGUUGUGUACGUUGUCGUUGUUGUUGGAGGUGAAAUCAAAUUCAAGCAUGAAGUUCUAGUUCCCUCCGCCAUAUUUGUUUUCAAAAUGAGAACCUUGUAAAUAAAACAUGAAAUAGUAAUAACAGAAUGAACAUGCAUUAGACUUGGAGAAAACUGCCUUUAGUAAUUUCAGAUUCAUUGAUUUCCACUUCUUCUCUUUCAGUCACAGUGAAGCUCUCCACUUUCUGUUGAUGGCUUUUGAGCAUUUUUGGCAGUAAGUUCUUGUUCCUUCCUCUGAAUGUCAAAUUUAUUCAACUUUUCUUCAAACUCCUCAUUGCAUUUUCAACUAUUGGCCUCUUUUUGCCUCAAGUUCACUUGGUUUCUUCAAAUAUCCUAAAUCAACUCUCCAUUUCAUUUUCAUGCAAAAAUGAAAAAAACCACGUUAAAAGCACCAAUUCUAAACUAAAGCAAGCCAAAAUAACUACCAAAAGAGCCUCAAAUGAGUGGAACUCCACCACUCAUCAGCACCCCCAACUUCGAAACCUUGUUGGUACUCAAGUAAAGAAAAUAAAAAAUACAAGAGGCUCUUAUUUUAAGACACACUACAAAUCAAUUUCCCUUUCUCAAUUAAGCACAAAGGAAUCAUUCAACAACUCAAUGCACAUGGCCUGCAAAUCAAUCAAGAUGGUUCAAAAUUUUACUUCCUUUUCUAAAUACAAGUAGCAUUGAAUAUUUUAACCGCUAACGAAUCAAAAGUCACAAAACGAGUUAUAAGAGUUGUCACAAAAUCAUUCAUAACAUGCUCAACCUUUUAAAAAUAUUAUUCACAUGCAUGAAUAUGUUCUUAGACCGAACCAAGUUAAAACAUUCCCAAAAAGACGACAACUUUUCCCUUAAGAGAGCUGUCAACCAAUCCAUCAUCAGGAAGUCUCAUGCAUCUAUUCGGGAACGGCUACUCAGACUUUGCCCUAAUCAACACCAAUCAAACACUCAUAAGCAAUCAACAAUUUACCCUUAUGAAAGUCGUCACCCUCUAUCCAUCAUCAGGCAUCGUCAAUUCAAAUCUUAUUAUCAAAACAAAACCAAAUAAGCUACAAACUACAAAUAAAAAACUAUAAUAUACCAAUCCAACACAAUAUCAACAUAAACAUCGACAAUAUCAAAGACUGACAAGGGAACACCAAUCCAUAACAAAGAAACAAAAGUACACCCGAUAAGGAUACAAUAACAGUAUGCAGAAACAAUCAACAAAAUUAUUACAAGGGAGGCAUCCCUAACUGAAAAUAAGAUUGUGUCCUCACUUGUGGCCAAGUAAUCAUCAUAUUUUCAGGCAUAUUUUUCCUAUAGGAACCUGCUCUCAUAAAAAACACUCUUCCUCCUCAAUUUCUGGAGCCAUUUCUUAAUCAUUCAAAUUGGUUUCGAAAGCCAUUUUUAGUUCAAAACACCUACAAAUGAAGCCAACAUGUCAAAAGUUCUUGUGGACACUUAAAAAGUGUAUUAGGAAGUAUUUAAUCCAAAGAAGUAAUCAAAAGAAGGUCCGAACUGAGCUAUGCGAAGCUACUAUUUUGGGCUUGCCAUCACUGUCCUCCGUGUUCACUGAGGAAUGUCACGUUACUUGUCGUUCUGGGUACAGGUUGGCUGAUCUACUGGUGGUUUAUAGUAGGUACCAUCGUGAUUCGGGAAGUUGGGUCGUGACACAAAUAUACUUUAGUUGAGUUGGAUAUGAAACAAUCGAACACACUAUCUCCUAGUCUUUCUGUUAGAUUUAGAGUAAGAGGCUCGAUGUAAAUGUUAUUUUGUUUAUACGUCUUAUUGAUUGUUCAGUUUUCCUUUAUCCUUGAUUGCCCUAGUGUCAAGGGAGAUUGCCUAUACAUCCACCUCUUUAGGCAUUGUUCAUUUUGAAGGGUUCUUAAUAGAUAUGGUAUUCAAAAAGUUGUUCUUUGAUGCUUAUAUGGUUUUCAUCCUCUAUAGAAUAUGGUUUUUGUCUUGCCAAAGCAAAAGAAUAGUUGCACGUUUACUAUAAUCAACAGGAAAAGAUUGAGAAGGUAAAUGUCAUUAGGAAGUAAUUUGAUAGGAACAAAUUAUCUUAGAAAAUAGUAUUUGAGCAUAAGAUGAAACUUACCAAAAUUUACUAUAAUGCUGAAAUACUUUGUAGCCCCAACAACUUGCUUAAAGAGUGCCAAAGAACCUGUCAGAAAACUCAGCACCGAUCCUGCACUCAUAGCCUGCAAAUUGAUCAACAUUUAAGCAGUAAGUUUCGAGGGAGAACUUCAUGGUGGCAGGAUACCGACAACCAUAGCGCCUUAGUUCAAAUUCCCAAAAAAAUCACCUGUUCAUGAAGACCUGCAUAUUUGACCUUCUUCACUUGUGGAUGGGAAGAUAAAUAUUUAGCAAUUUUUUGUGCAUUCUCCUGCAAGAUAUUGAAAUUAUUUAGUUAGAACAUUGUGAUAUGGCAGAAUUUACGAACCAUCUUAACUUCUCAGCACAAUAUAAUGAUGAAGAUGCAACAAUAUGCAUGCCAUAAUCAUGAAAAUCUAUAGGAUCAAGAAUAAUAGAUUGACAAAGGCGCAGGAAGGCACAUAUGAUUCUAGAACGAGUGGUGGGAUACUAAUUUCACCACUAAAAAAAAGAAAAGAAAAUUAAACUUGUUGUUUUUUCAACACGAAGAGCCAUUGUUUUAAUUCCUCUCAAACAAAGACAACAAUUGAAUGGCGCUAACCCUACACCUUCAAUAUUUUGUAGGAAGUACAUCUCCUUUGCUAAGAUUGUUAAGUACAAAAAUUUAUAAGAAAAUUAUUAGAAGGACACUUGACAUGUUCGAAGAGAAACAAGACAUCAGACAUUAUUUACAUUCAAUACGCUAUACAUAACUACUAAUUUUUUUCAAAUAUAGACUUGUCAAUAAACUGAUUUCUUAAACUUUACUGAAUUUUAUCAACAACAACAAAAGAAGUUAUUAAACUUCAUGGUCAAUUAUAAGGGCAACAAUGCAUUCAGGAAAAGAAUUACAGUGUCACUAAGUAUUGCACAAAUUUGUGCAUUGCAGGGUCAAUAAGGUGCUGCAUAGAGAGGACUUCUUGUUCACACCAUAAGCCAUAUGGAAGGGAUCCAUUUUUGACUUGCAUACAACCCUGAGCAAGUAUACUAAGAUUGUACGAAGGCUCAUCCUCGGGCCUGAGUGAAGGCCCUUAUUCAAAGUAAAGAAUUAUGGAAGUUGCGAGAUUAUCGUCCUUUAUAUCCUUUUAAUCCAGUCCAAAGAAAAUAGAAAAUUUAUUUUUAUAAGAAAUGGAAGAGAAAAAGGAAGCAUGAUUUCAGCAUUUCCUACCUGUUGUUGAACAAAUCUAGAGUUUCACUUUGAGUAUGGUAACUGAUCAUUGCUAGAGAAAUCAAUAAUCGGUCUACUUACAAACUCACAUUCACUAUAGUCAAACUCCUAAUGUAAUUAUUGGUUUAGGCAAUCAAAAACGACCAGAGAAAACUAAGAAUAUACAAUCAUAAGAUAACAAUAAAUCAAAUUUUGAAAUGUAUGCGAAUUAGAGGAAAAACCUUUCUCCUCUGACAGAAAGUACACCAGCCAUGAGUUCACUAUCACCAGAUAUGAACAUAGUAGCUGAAUGCACCAAAAUAUCUACAAAACCAUGGACAAGUAAUCUAACAUUCGAUGCAUUUUAUUGGAGAGUAUUCCAGUUACCGGAACAAAAAGUAUUUGCAAAAUACCUGCUCCGAGCCCCAAAGGAUAGGACAGCACUGGGACAUAAUGUUGUUGUCUACCAGCACAAGUGCCCCAUUGCAUGAGCCAUCUUGAAAAUUUUCUAUGAUAAAUCAGAAAAGACAAUAGUUUGAGACAAAAAAAUCAUUAUCUUUUGAAGAUUAAUAUAUUACUAUCUAUCAGCAAUAAAAGCUGAAAUUUGUAAGUGCAUAAUCUACAUAUGCUACUAUCAAUCACCCACACGAAUAUGACAAAUUUGUUGAUGAGGGUUGGUUGGACUUUCAAUCCAAACAAGCUUUGUUCGUGUUUAAUCACAUAAAGUAACCUCAUGUAAGUUACAGUGGUAUCCACUCGCCUGUACAAAUUAGAUGACAAUCACGAAUCUAGUAACCUAAUUGAAAACAAAUUACAUCGACAAUAAAGAUUCUAAACAAUGUCUCAUCCGCAUUCACGGUGGACUGCCGCAUUACUUGUCAUUUUGGGUAAAGGUUGGCUUACCUACUAGUGGGUUAUAGUAGGUGUCAUCGUAACUCGGGAAGUUUGAUAUGAAAUAGUACAACACACUAUCUCCUCGUUUUUCUAUUAGAUUUACAGUAAGGGAUCCAUGUCUAGGUUAUUUUGCCUAUGCUUCUUAUUGGUAGUUCAGUUUUCCCCUAUCCUUGAGUGCACAAGUGUGAAGCCCGAUGGCAAUGAAAACACAAAAUUGCUUUGAUACUUAUAUGGCUUUCAUCCUUUAUAGAAUAUGGUUUCUGCCUUACCAAAGCAAAAGAAAUAGUUGCACGUUUACUAUAAUCAAUAGGGAAAAGAUUGAGAAGGCAAAUGUCAUUACAAAGUAGUUUGAUAGGAAAAAAUGAUAUUACAAAAUAGUAAUUGAGCAUAAGAUAAAACUAAACAAAAUUGAUUGUAAUGCUAAAGUACUUGGUAGCCUCAGCAACAUGCUUAAAGAGUGCCAAAGAACCUGUCAGAAAACUCAUUCUGAUCCUGCACCCCUAGCCUGAAAAUUGAUCAACAUUUAAAUAGUAAGUCUCAAGGGAGAGCUUCAUGGUGGCAGGAUAUCGACAAGCAUAGCGCCUUAGUUUAAAUUCCCAAAAAUCACUUGUUUGAAUACCUCAGAGAAGUGGAGUGGGUUUGUGAGCCUAAGGCACCACUUCCCAACUCCACGGGCAGGACCAUGGCUCGUGGAGUGGCUCAUGGUGCCUAGACGGGAUUCACUAAAUGAGGGUCUUUUAAGGAAUUUCCUUUUUAGUCCAAUUAAAGUGGGGUUGUUUUAGGUAUUUUUAGGGGAAGUAUAUAAGUUGAUUUUAAGUCAAAAUUCAUUAUUUUAAGUCAUACUACCCCAACACCCAAAUCAAAUCAAACACUUCCUCCUCUCUCAAUAUUUCUCUAUCUAAGCUCAAGGAAGAAGAAAGAGGCAUUGGAGCUAGGGUUUGUAGAUUUUAAAGGUUCUUCCCCAAAUAUCUUGGAGAUUCUUAAUUGAGGUAUGGAUGCUUUUCAUCUUUGGGUAGCUAUCCCCCAAAGAGCCACUUCAAAUUAUGUUUUCAAGAUUUCAAAUCCCCCAAACCUAGGGUUUUCAAUCUAUGAAAUGUUACAUUGUUUAAUUAUGGUUUAUUAUGGUUGAUUAUGAUGAUUUAUAAUGGGAAUGUUGAAGUAUUGUUGGAUUUUGAUGAAAAUCUCCCUUGGACCCAUGAUUUCCUCUUCUUCCUAAAUUGUGAACUAUGUAUGGCUUGAUUGAUGAUGGUAGCAUGACAAUUGAUUAUGUUGUUGAAUCAUGAUAUCUCUCUAUCUAGUAUGGUAAUUCUAGAAGUUAGGGUUAAUCUUGAUUCUUAGCCUUGAAGGGCAAUUUGUUAGGGUUUAUAUAUGUUGAUGAAUAUUGUAUAUGAACUUGUGAUUCUCUUAGAUAGUGAUGAACCUAUAACUAAUGUGUAAUUGUGGUAUUGACGCAAGAUCCUUCAUCCCUAUACCUUUACACUUGAUUAUGCAUGAAGUAUGUACUAGUUGGUGAUUGAGACAAGGUCUAGAUUCUUAUUUUCAUUUAGGGCUAACCCAUUGGUGGCCCCCUAAAGUUGGCAUCAAUUUUCACUGAGACAUCUUAACUAGGCUUUGUUCAUUUAGACACCUCAUGUAAGGCCCUGAUAUGUCAGUUUGACACUUUUUUUACAUUCAGCAAAAAUAUGAUGGUGAGUGUGUUCCAAUCGUGAAUGAUGUGUAAAGUGUCUAAUUAAAUGAGGACACUUGUCAUUUUGUUCAAAAUAAUUCUUAAAUAAUAAACUAUCAAUUAUAAAAAUAAAAAUAAAGAUGGCCAAUGGAUCGGUGACACGUGGCUUUUUUUUUCCAAAUAAUAACAAAAAAAGGAUUAAAUCACCUUAACAAAUCUUUAAGAGAAACAUCUCCCACUUCCACCCCCACCCCAUCGUGUUCUUCAACGUUGGAGAAACAAGCAUAGUAGCACACACCCCUUAAUUUUCUAUCAUAUACCCAAAAUUUUCUCUAUCUCUUUUACUUAAAUAUUGUUCAAUCCUACUUUAGUGAACUUGUGUAACUCAAUUUUUUUCAAAUAAAUGCAUCUCCACAAAUUUUAUUGCUAAAAGAGAAUUUUACAGUUUUUAUUGCUAAAAAAAAUAAAGUCUAAGAUCCAAUGAACUUUUAAAAUACAAAUGUGUACGUGUUCAUAUCAGAUUGUUAAGUUUCUUUUAAUGGGAUUAUCUCAUUUUUAGUGACUUUUUAUUCAUCCCCAACUUUUCAUUUUUUUCUUCAAGUUUCAGUCUUUUUUUCUCAAAUUAAAUUGAUGAAGAAGGGCAGCAUCCUUGGGAAAUCUUGGGGAAAGCUCUGUUUGGAAUUAGAUUCCACAGUUGUGGCAUCAUCAAAUAUAUUUUACCAUGGAAGAAGUUCAAGUUUGAGAAAAUGGUGGUUGAAAAUAUGGGGAAGAAGAAGGAAAUAUAAAAUAAAAAUUGGCUAAAAAAGAGCCUGACGCGCGGUUAAUGAGUGGGUCAGACUCACUAUGCCAUAUCAGCAAAAAGUGUCAAAAUGAUACAUCAGGAUCUUAUAUGAGGUGUCUAAAAUGAACAAAGUCUAGUUCAAGUGUCUAAGUGAAAGUUCAUGCCAACUUUUAGGAGCCACCGAUGGGUUAAGCCUUUCAUUUAUGAAAAAUAAAUUGACUUCGAUUGUAAAAGUUUUAAAUUUUUCCGCAUUAUUCUAUGACUUAUGUGUAUGAUUAUGCUAAGGUCUUGUAUGCGACCCCUUCAGGGUCAAGUACAUUGUGUUACGUCUAGGGGGUACCCCUGGGUCGUGACAAACUUGGUAAUUAGAGCACAAGAUUUAGAAUGAUUCUAGGAUUGAUGUCUCAUGAACCAUGUCUAGUAGAGUCUUGUUCAUGAAUGUGAAGCGCGCCACACUUAUGAAUGAGAGGCUAUAAGUUGUUUAGGAACUUUUCCUUCUUUCAUUACUCUUUAGUCAUGCUUUAGAGUUUUAACUCUAUGAAGUCCUUUUUCCUAACCCUUUUCUUGUGUAUAUAGCAUAUGAAUACUAGAAGGGGAAAUGCAAGAAGGAGGGAAGAGGAGAUUGUGAAUGAGGGAGUUCCUCCCCAAGGUCCUCAAGAGCCUCAAGUUCCUCAAGCUCCUAAUAAAGAGGGGGAUAUGACCAAUGUGGAGAGAAGGACAACUCUCCAAACAUUGACUCAUGCUUUGACGGCUCAAGUCACAAGGAUGCUAGAGUUCAAGUGAACCCCAAUGUAAGUACAACCGAUUCAAGGUUAGGGAUUUCACAAGAAUAAAUCCCCCAGUGUUCUAUGGCUCCAAAGUGGAUGAAGAUCCAUAAGGGUUUAUUGAUGAAGUGCUUAAUGUGCUUAAUGAUAUGAGAGUGUCUUCCCAAGAGAAGGCAGAACUAGCCACCUACGAAUUGAAGGAUGUGGCUCAUGUUUGGUUUGAGCAAUGGAAGGAUGAGAGACCCAUAAGAGCGGGCCCGAUACAUUGGGGAUUGUUCAAGUCAGUCUUCCUUGAUAGGUUUUUUCCUCUUGAGUUGAGGGAACGAAAAAUGCAAGAAUUCAUCAACCUUCAACAAGGAGGAAUGACUGUGAAGGAAUAUGGCCUUAAGUUCACCCAAUUGUCUAAGCAUGCUCCAACUUUAGUGGCGGACUCUAGGGCCAAGAUGAACAAAUUUGUUAUGGGGUUAUCCGACUUGGUGGUCAAUGAAUGUCGUUCGGCUAUGCCUAUUCCAAGUAUGAAUAUUGCACGUCUUAUGGUUUGUGCCGAACAAAUUGAGGAACAAAAGCUGAAGCAAGUGAAUAGAGAAGUAAAGAGGGCAAGAGUCGAUGAUGGAAAUUCUUUCGAGGGUAAAUUUGAGAUUCAAGGUAAACCAACGUUCAAGAAGAGGUUUUCCAACCAAGGCUCUUCAAGUGCUCCAAAGGGAAACAAAGAUAUGGUGUCUAACCCUAAGCCUCAAGGAGGUUGUAGUAGUGGUUCUUAUGUUGAGAGAACUACUUGUGCCAAGUGCGGCAAAAAGCAUGAUGGCAAGUGCUUAGUUGGCAUGGAUGGUUGCUUUAGUUGUGGAAAGAGCGGCCAUAUGAAGAGAGAUUGUCCCAUGCUAAAGGUUCAAGGAAGAGAGGGCAAGCAGGCCCCUCCUAGUGGUUCAAAUUCUGAUGCUCCCAAGAAGAACCGCUUCUAUGCUCUCCAAUCACGAGGUGACCAAGAGAGCUCUUCGGAUGUUGUAACGGGUAUGUUGCAAGUCUUUUUCAUUGAUGUUUAUGCAUUAUUAGACCCCGGUGAUACCUUGUCAUUUGUUACACCUUUUGUGGCUAUGAAAUUUGAAAUGUUCCCCGAUGUGUUAGAAGAACCUUUCUCGGUGUCUACCCCGGUUGGUGACUCGGUAGUGGCAAAAAGAGUCUAUAGGAGUUGUCAUAUUUCUGUCUUAUAAAGUCACUUUGGUUGAUUUGGUAGAAUUAGACAUGCUUGAUUUUGAUGUAAUUUUGGGCAUGUAUUGGUUGCAUGCAUGUUAUGCUUCUAUAGAUUGUAGGACCCGAGUGGUCAAAUUUCAAUUUCCAAAAGAGUCAAUUUUAAAGUGGAAAGUGGGGGAUUCUAUUCCGAGAGGUCAAAUUGUUUCAUGUCUAAAAUCUAGGAAAAUGAUCUCCAAGGUGCAUGCAUCAUAUUGUUAGGGUUAUGGAUGUUGAGUCCAAGGUGCCUUCUUUAGAGUCGGUCCCCGUGGUGAGUGAGUUUCCUGAAGUCUUUCCCGAUGGCUUGCCCGGCAUUCCUCCCGAAUGGGAAAUAGACUUUGGAAUUGAUCUUUUGCAGGAUACACAACACAUAUCCAUCCCUCCUUAUAGAAUGGCUCCAGCCGAAUUGAAAGAGUUGAAGGAGCAACUCAAGGACUUUUUAGACAAGGGUUUUAUUCAACCAAGCAUCUCUCCAUGGGGUGCUCCGGUAUUGUUUGUGAAGAAGAAGGAUGGGUCCCUUAUGAUGUGUAUAGACUACCGUCAAUUGAAGAAAGUGACUAUAAAGAAGAAGUAUCCUCUCCCUACAAUUGACGAUUUGUUUGAUCAACUUCAAGGGGCUAACUAUUUCUCCAAAUUAGAUCUUCGUUCGGGUUACCAUCAACUAAGGAUAAGAGGGGUUGACAUUCCCAAAACGACUUUCCGAACUAGAUAUGGGCAUUAUGAGUUCCUUGUGAUGUCAUUUGGUCUAACUAAUGCCCCAAAGACUUUUAUGGACCUUACGAAUAGGGUUUUCUGGAAAUAUCUCGACAUGUUUGUCAUUGUGUUUAUUGACGAUAUCUUGAUCUAUUCUAAGAGUGAGAGUGACCAUAUGGACCAUUUGAGAGUUGUGUUGCAAGUCCUCAAGGAUAACCAAUUGUAUGCUAAGUUUAGUAAAUGUGAGUUUUGGCUAAGGUCGGUUGCGUUCCUUGGUCAUAUUGUGUCGAGCAAGGGUAUUAAGGUAGAUCCAAAGAAGACGGAUGCGGUCAAAGGUUGGCCUAGACCUCUAACUCUUACCGAUAUUAGAAGUUUUUUGGGUUUAUCCGGCUUCUAUUGGAGGUUUGUUGAGUGUUUCUCCUCUAUUGCUUCUCUAUUGACAGCCUUAACUCAAAAGAACGCUCAAUUUGUGUGGUCGGAAGCUUGUGAGAAAUGCUUCCAAGAAUUGAAAGAUAAACUCACCUCCGCUCCAAUUUUGACCUUACCGGAGGGUACCGAUGGGUUUGUAGUAUAUUGUGAUGCUUCUCGAGUGGGUUUAGGAUGUGUCCUUAUGCAACAUGGGAAAGUAAUUGCCUAUGCCUCAAGGUAACUCAAGAUACAUGAGAAGAACUAUCAAACUCAUGAUCUCGAGUUGGAGGCGGUGGUAUUUGCUUUGAAAUUAUGGAGACAUUAUCUAUAUGGGGUGCAUGUUGAUCUGUUCACCGACCACAAGAGUCUCCAAUAUAUGUUUAGCCAAAAAGACUUGAAUCUCUGACAAAGAAUGUGGUUAGAACUUUUGAAAGAAUAUGAUAUGAGUGUCCUUUAUCACCCUGGGAAAGCCAAUGUAGUUGCCGAUGCCCUAAGUCGAAUGUCCAUGAAUAGUGUGUCUUAUGUAGAAGAUGAGAAGAAAGAGUUAGUUCGAGAUGUACAUUGGUUGGCCCGGUUAGGUGUCCAACUAGUGAAUUCCACCAAGGGUCGUGUCAUGGUCCAUCAUGGUUCCAAAUCCUCAUUCGUGGUUGAUGCGAAGUUCAAGCAACACAUUGAUCCUAUAUUAAUGGAGUUGAAAGAAUCGGUACUCAACAAGUCCGUUGAGGCUUUCUCCCAAGAGGGAGAUGGGGUGCUUAGGUACCAAGGUAGAUUAUGUGCUCCGGAUAUUGAUGGCUUAAGAGAACAAAUUUGAAGAGACUCAUGGUUCGCGAUAUUCUAUUCAUCCGGGAGCCACCAAGACGUACCGUGACCUACGGGAAGUCAUUGGUGGAAUGAUAUGAAGAAGGAUAUAGUGGGUUUUGUAGCCAAAUGUCCAAAUUGCCAACAAGUUAAGGCCGAGCAUCAAAGGCCCGGAGGGUUGUCCCAAGAUAUAGAUAUUCCCACUUGGAAGUGGGAGGAUUUGAAUAUGGAUUUUGUUGCGGGGUUUCCUCAUACUCUAAGGCAACAUGAUUCUAUUUGGGUCAUUAUUGAUAAAAUGACAAAGUCCGCCCACUUUAUUCCCGUCAAUGUUUCUUAUUUGGCAGAAGAAUAUGCCAAGUUGUACAUCAAUGAGAUAGUGAAGUUGCAUGUGGCUCCCUUAUCUAUCAUUUCAGAUCAGGGUGAUCAAUUUACUUCACACUUUUGGAAGGCAUUCCAAAAAGGGCUUGGUACCAAUGUUAGGCUUAGCAUCGCUUUUCACCUUCAAACGGAGGGUUAAGAGGAACGCACCAUUCAAACCUUAGAGUACAUGUUGAGGGCAUAUGUGAUUGACUUCAAGGGUAGUUGGGAUGAACAUAUUCCAUUGAUAGAGUUUGCCUACAAUAAUAGUUACCACUCAAGUAUUGUCAUGGCACCGUUUUAAGCAUUGUAUGGUAGGAGGUGUAGAUCUACGGUUGGUUGGUUUGAGGUAGGUGAAUUUGCUCUAGUUGGUCUCGAAUUAGUCUAUUAGGCCAUUGAAAAGGUUCGCCUCAUUAGAGAGAGGUUGAAGACGGCCAAAGUCGGCAAAAGUCUUAUGUCGAUGUUAGAAAGAGGGAUCUAGAAUUUGAGAUUGGUGAUUGGGUCUACUUGAAAAUCUCACCUAUGAAAGGUGUGAUGAGAUUUGGUAAGAAGGGGAAGCUUCCCAUAUCAAAUCUUGAAGCGUAUUGGGAAGGGUGCUUAUGAAUUAGACUUCCCAAGUGAGUUGGCUGCAGUUCAGCCGGUGUUUCAUGUUUCCAUGCUCAAAAAGUGCAUUGGUGAUCCGGUAUCAAUCAUUCCUUUAGAGGGUUUAGGAGUUGAUGAGAAUCUUUCCUAUGAGGAAGUUUCGGUAGAGAUUUUGGGCUGGGAAGUUAAGAGGUUGAGAAACAAAAAAGUAUAUUCGAUUAAGGUCUUAUGGAGGAAUCACUUAGUUGAGGCCGUGGCCAACAUGAAGUCCCGCUAUCCUCAUAUUUUUCCUUCUACUCCUAUUACAACUUGAGGUAAGUAGUUUCUUGAGUUUGGUAUUUUGGAAGUCAUAUGUGCUAUAAGUGUUCUCUAUGAUUUCCUUAUGUUGUGAAUGUUCUUGUGAGAAUUCAUGUUUAGCGUAAAUUGAGUUUUCAUGAUUUAUAUGUUCCUCAUGUUGAGUUGCAUUUUUAGUAUGAUGAUUGCAUAUUUGACUUCAUGAGGUGAAUUGAUGAACAUGCUUAGUUAUGAUUUUGAUGAAAUGAUAUGUUGGAUCUAUAUUCUUUUGUUGAGCUUGCUUUGAGUUGGAGAAGGUAGUCCCUCCUAUGUUAAUAUGAAAUGAUAAAUAUUGUGCAUAAUGGGUUGUAGAUGUAGUUUCCUACUUCCUUGUGAUUCCAUUGAUUAUGUCUUGAGAUGGAGUUGAUGUUUCCUCCUAAUGAAUUGUUCGUUUUGUUAUGUUGCAUGCUCGUUAGGCUGCUAGUCUUGAGUCUUUACUUCUGUAAGAUGUCUAAAUCGUCAUUCGAGGACAAAUGUUCCCAAGGGGGAGAUAAUGUAACACCCCAUAAAAUGGUAGGUUCAACUAGAACCUAAACGUAAGGGUAAAAAUCAUAAAAUGACUCCCCGAGUGUUAGUAAGUCAUUUAAGGUUGAAAAAAGGACUUUUUGAGUUAAGGCCAAGGGGUAAGUGCCAAGGCAAAGGGGCCAAAGGCCAAGGCUGCUCCUUGCUAGGAGCACAUUGCUUCACCUUCACUAGAGGGACCACAACCCGUGGUCCACUACACAGCUCGUGAAGGGGGUCGUGAAGCUCCCUUGGCCAUGGGAAAAUGGCCACCCUUUGGCCUAGCCACUGCCUCAACUUCACAUGAGGGACCACGGCUCGUGGAGCCCUCUGUGAAGAAGACUUGGGCAAAGUGGCUAAAGGCCCCAAAAGGCAAGCUCACUGCCUCAAGGACCACGAGAGGGACCACGGCUCGUGGUCUUGACCACGUCUCGUGGAGCCCCUCGUGGUAAUGCCUUAGGCUUGUGAGCCUAAGGUAAUCCCAAGCCACUACCUCAACUCCACGGGUAUGACCAUAGGUCGUGGUCCUCACCAUGGCUUGUGGAGUGGCUCGUGGUGCCUAGACGGGAUUCACUAAAUGAGGGUCUUUUAAGUAAUUUCCUCUUUAGUCCAAUUAAAGUGGGGUUGUUUUGGGUAUUUUUAGGAGAAGUAUAUAAGUUGAUUUUAAGUCAAAAUUCAUUAUGUGGGGGUAGAACACCGGAUUCCAUGUCGCUCACAUGGUCUAUGUCGAUUAAGGCUAUUAUCCCUAUAUGAUACGAAUAUGAACUAUGGUAAGAGCAUGGACUUUAAUUAUGACUUCUUAAGAGGUACUACUUAGUAUGAGUGGGGAUAUGGGACUUCACUUACACAUUGCACAAGUAGACCUUAAGGGAGGUUGUGAUGAGUUCUUUUAUGUUAUGAAGACUUAUGAAAUAUGUAUGUAUGAUAUGUAUGAAUGUUAAUGUUGACUUUACUUGUUACAAGUUAUGAUCAUGAAUGUCUCCUUACUUAUGUAUAUUGGCUAUGACGAGGCCAAUGUAAGAUAUGUAUGUUGUUGGUGACUUAAAUGUGAUACUUGGCAUUUGGUAGGGUUAUUGGAUCUUACCUUUGCAUUGCACUAGUAUGACUUUGGGUUGCUUGUAUCUUGGUAUGACUUAUGUUUCUUCAUAAAUGUGCAUAAUGGUUUUCAAACUUGAUAAAGGCAUGAUUUCAACUAAAUGUCCCUUUUAUGCAUGUUUCAAUGAUUUUGUGCAUGGCUUCCAUAUUUAGUACUUUAUGUGCUAACCCAUAUUCAACUUUUUACUAUUAGUGUAGGUUCCGGUCAUUGAUACAUACUUCUUACUUCAAGUGAAGCUUGGGUUGAGUAUUCCCUAGGCUUGGUGAGUCCUCAAGUUUGCGGACAAGUUGUUAUCAUUUUCUAGUUUCUAUGUACUUUCUAUUUUUGAGACUUUAUUGAUGUAAAGGGCUUUGACCCUAUUUGUACUCCCUAUUAUACUAGAUGGUGAUUGAGACAAGGUCUACAUUCUUAUUUUCGUUUAUGAAAAAGAAGUUGACUUCGAUUGUAAAAGUUUUAAAUUUUUCUGCAUUAUUCUAUGAUUUAUGUGUAUGAUUAUGCUAAGGGCUUGUAUGCGACCCCUUCAGGGUCAAGUACGCCAUGUUACGUCUAGGGGGUACCCUAGGUCGUGACAAGAACGAGUGGUAGGACACCUAAUUUAACAACCAAAAUAAGCAAAUAAAAUUAAACCUAUUAUUUUUCAACGCGAAUAGCCAUUGUUUUUAUUCCUCUCAAACAAAGCCACCAAUCGAAUGGCGCUAACUGAUGUUUGCGUAAUCAAGACACAACUUCCAAUGCAAGUGUCUACGAUCGUACAAUAGUAAAGUAACCCAACCAAGGGUUGGGUUCGAGUCCCAAGGGAGUGGUUUUGAGAAUUAAUAGAAAAAUAAAAUUAAGUUCUAAUUAGUCAUAGCUAAAUAUAUUAUCGAAUAAGAAGAUGUUAAAUCUAAGGGGUGAGGCAAGCGUAAUUUAUCAAUGGGGGUUUGUCACAAAUAAACAAAAAUUACCUUAAAUAUAAGGAGUACUAAUCAAGGAGAUGGGAUUCUUGGGAUGUGAUAGGAAUACGGGAUAAACUAAACUAUUGGGGGUACAUGCUUUUGAUAAUAAAUCUCUUGAAUAUUUGUGACUAGGCUAGACUAUAGUGGGGGUAAACUCUGUCUCUCGAGCAACUUACCCCAAAUCAACUGGGUUUAUCUCGAACACCAAGUUGCCGCAUGAAGAACAACCUCCUCCUUAUCCCACUUACUCUCUCGAGCUGAGUGUGUGGGAGAAGGACUAGGCUUCACUCUCUCGAGCUGAACCUCAUGUCGACCCAAUCCCACCGGCCAUCAAUUUAGUAGUCUUAGUUUUACGACCUCUCUCUCGAGCAAGCUGAAAACAUAAAUGUGAAAUCGUAUUUGCAACUACAAUUUCAUUAAGUUCCACCACAACUACUAAACGAAAUCACAUCUAGACAACAAAUAAAUCAUCAACAAGCAAGACCCAACAGAUAAUUUAACCCAUAUUCACAAAAUCACACCCCAAGAAUUGGAGUUUUAGCUAGACAUGUAAAAGAGAUAGAAAUUUAUACCAAUAUGAGCUUGCAUUCAAAUGGGUAUGAAGAUUUAAGUCUCAAAACAAUCAAAGAGUGAAGAAUCCACAAGACCCAAGUCCAAAUUCUUGGAGUUGAAACACUUAGAAUCUUCUAGUUCUUUAAAACCCUAUCCAAACUUAGAACUCAAAAUUCUAUGUUAAAAAUUCUAUAUUAAAAAUAUUAUAUUAAGCUACCACUCUCAAUGAGUAUUUAUAGUUUUCAAAAAUAUGUGUUGCAACAGAUCAUUCGGCAUCGUUAGUCGUGAUCACCGAUCAACUCGGCGAUCCACCCUUUGGUAGGUUUUAUCGUCGUCUUUCUCUAUCCUUCAGCAUCAUCAUGUUUUGGAUCAUUGGGCGACAUUGUACUGCUUCGCGGAACUGCUUGGUGACACGCUGACUGCUUCUUUUCACCGCCGAUUUGAUCCUUUCUUUCAGGGUUCAGCACACUGGAACAAAAGGCGAGGAUAAGGACCGUUUGGUGACUCGCCGAACGGGUUCGGCAAUUCACAGAUCUUCAUUUCUUCGUUCUUUUAGCUGCCUUUGUUCCUUUUUGCUAAGUAGUGUCCAUGCUUUCCCUCAAACUCCAAAUACCUAAAACUUAACGGUUUUCAUCAGAUAUUGAGACAAAAUAUGCAUUUGAGGACACUAAUUUUAUACAAAAUACAUACCCUAAAUGAGUCCAAUUUGUGGACUCAUCAACACCCCAACUUAAACUUUUGCUUGUCCUCAAGAAAACUCGAGUUCUGGUGUUCAAAAUGGGUAACUCAAACAAUGCUAUACAAGAAUCAAUCAUAAAUGUAUACAACAAGACUUAACUUACUCAUGCAAGGAUCAAAUGUGCACUCAAAGUUUCAAGUGGUGACAUACCAUUAUCAAAGAAUCUCGAACUCAUAAUACUUGCUUCAAAUGCAAGUUCAAGCUCAACUAUAGUGUUCAAAUGCCCUCACACAAAGAAUGAUCCAUAUUAACACAAUGGUUCACAGUUUAAAGCUUCGGAAUCAUAUGCAACACUCACACUCACAAAGAAGAACACAAUGCAUAAUUUCACCCAUAGUUUUGCCCGUAUUUUCCAAUCAACAUUUGCUUCAGCUCACUCAAGAUCACAAAGGUCUUUCAAGGCUUGUAAUGGGGCUGAGCGCAACUGUAUGGUCAUUUUUAGGCUCAGUGACUUUCAUCCUCAUGAAAUGUGGUGUUCACAACACUUCAUUUCCUUUUCCUUCAUCAUUCUCUUUAGUGCUCAAAAGUCAUCCUAUUAUUCACUCUCCAUGGAUUGUUUGGAAACCCCAUUUAUUUUGUACUUUAUUCCACAACUUUCUUUUUCAUUCUUUUCUUCUCUUUUUUUAAAAAAAUAAUAAUAUUUGGAGGGGUUCCAUUUUUCUCAACACCAUGGGUUAAAGGAGACUUUCCUUGCACUUCUUGACUUGCCCUUAUCUUUUCACCACACCCCCAACUUAGGCUUUUGGCCUAAGUUGGCUGUUCAAUCAACCACAAAUCAAGAGGAUUAUAGGUAGUGGAUUAAGAGAGGUCUAGUUUUCAUCAAGUUUCUUCCAAAGAAAGAGAUAGCAUCACUUAGUUGAUCGGACCAACGGGGCAAAUUCUAGGAUCCAUCAUGCAUAGUUCACAGGUAAGCUCAUCACACUAGGCAUUGACACUAUAAGUGAAACAAGACUCCACACUUUCGCCAGUGUACAACGAUCAUCACAAGAGACUCGAUUUGAUCAUUGGCUAGUCACAACGAGAUGCAAAGAGUUCACAUAUUGUCUAUGCAACUUCAUUUGGCCUCAUUGUAGCCGCACAUUCAUGUUUAUUCGAUUAUAAGCACUAUCCAAGUCAUCGAUAUUGAUCGGAACCGAUACUCAAAUUUGUGAAGGAACAGCCACAUUCAACACACAAGGGGUAGCAAAUUUUUUUUGGAAGGGUCAAAAUCAUUUUGCAAUUUAAAACACGGAGCCACAAGCUCAAACCUUCCACUAAAUAGUGUAUAAAACACAAUUAUAGCUUACAACCCAAAUACAUAAACGAAACAUAAUUCACGAAUAACACACAAAGGUGGGCCUCACCCCACCACAAAUAAAAGAAAUUUGUCCUCAAAUGCAAGUAAUAAAAUAUCUAGAAUGUAAAUUAAAGAAAGACAGAGAAGGAGGUAAAGAGGGGAUCCUGUCUAUGGAGUCUCUCCAUCUGUCUGGGCCUCAGUGCCCGAUGUAGUACUCUGAAUAUGGGCAUCAGUCCCCGAAGUCACCUUAGGGAGAACAACGAUACCGGAUUCACCAAGGUCUGUUGAGUGUGUGUCUGCCAAAAAGAUAUGCACCACUCUGCAAAAUCCCCUGGCCCAUGAUAGAAUAUUAGGGUCCUGGGUAAUGGUCUUCCUGGCAGAAGUGGGCCUUUUGCCCUUGCCUUUCCCAAUAGUUGCGGUCAGUUUCGUAGCUUUGCCUUUCAACGUAGUUGUCUCCUCAUUUAUCGCACUCCCUUUUGACUUCUCUUGUGCUGGUUUUAUUCUUUCCACAACUUUUGAUUUAGUCAUGUCUGCAAAGUCUUGAAGAGAAGUUAGAAAAACUUAAACAAAAGAAAAGCAGAACUUAUGCAGAUAAACUCGCCAAACCAGAUGGCGAAUCGUCGAAUUUCUUAGGCGAGCUAGAUCAGGCUCGCCAAAGGAAUUAGCUCUAACACUGUAGCAAGAAGGUGAAAGGGGAACUUUUUCGGCGGGUCGCCAAUAGUUUUUGGUGAACCAGGAUAGGUCCACCGAAAGUUUCAGUGCAUAAAGGUUCAGGGGUGCAUAUAAAGGGCGAAAGAGAAGACUUUCAGCGAGUCGCCAAAUUCUUUCUACGACAUCAAGCUUCUCGCCAAAAGUUACAAAAUUAAUCAUCAAAUAUAGCAAGAAAUCAAAAGCGAGAUGGGAACAUUAGGCAAACCGCCGAGUGGUUUGGCGAGCUCGACCCAGCUCGCCAAAUGGCCCGACGUGCCUAUUUUCAACCCAACCUCUCGAAUUCAACCCUGCAACUCCCGAAAACAAAAUCAAAACAUGCACCAAUACAAUUAAGGUAGGACCCAUAACACCCAAACACAACCCCUCAAAUUUUAAUCCAAUUUAAGGUAUGCAAUUAUGGGAAUUCAAUAGUCAUAACUACCCGAGCAAGGAUAUCAAAUUAAAUCAUGCACGUAAACAAUCUAAUCCUCCCAGGGAGGAGUAGAACACUUCAACCAGAUUGUGGUAUUGCAAAUGAGUAUAGUUUAUGAUAAAUUAAACUUGGGGCAUAGAGAACUAACAUUUUGUGUCACUAAGGAGAGGAUUGAAAUACUAAGCGGCAAUGCAAUCCAAGUCCGAGCACAAUUUAACAACUAAAAUACUCUAAAAGUUCAAGAAAUAUAGAAACUAGAGUACAGGUGUGAGUUUGGGCAGAUAAAAAGGGAGGGAAAGUGAAUGAAGUUAAAACUUUUCAACCUUUGGCAUGCAAAAACCGUCCAGUUUUCACCCACUCGGCCACAUUAGUCAAGCUCGCCUAAUCACUCGACGGAACGCCGAAUGUUUAGUUUCCUCACCGAAAUUUACAUGUCCUCCAGUUAAUGUGGGGGUCCAAAUCACCAAUUUCCAUCGAGAUCGUUAACAGUGUCGGCGAUGCGCCAAUAAUUUCCUGGGCUCACCAAGUUUUACAGACUCCAAUUUGGAGAUUUCUUACAUUAGACAACAGAUUAGGUCGGGGUCACCGACCUCUUCGGCGAUUCACCGACUGGACCUAUUACUCACCACCCUACACUUUUUCGAACACUUUCCACACUUCGACUUGUACAAAUAACACACCAUUAUUUUACCACAACACAAAUAAAAAGCAUUAAGGGGUUUUGGGUUACCUCCCAAACAACGCCUUAGUUAAUGUCGUGGCACAAUGCAAGUUAAUGCCUUAGUUAAUGUCGGAAUUGGCCAUGGUGUAACUAGGCGAGUCUUCAACAAAUGGUGGAUAGCGACCUGAUAUUAACUGAUUUAUCUAGGCAUCUUGCAACUGAAUUGUCAUGGAGUUAGAGGUUGUCGCUUGAUUCAGCAUGUCGAUGUUCUCUUUCAUCUCAUUCAACAUCUUUUCUUGUUCUUCGAUCUUUUGUUGAAUGUGUGAGAGGAAUCCAUCAUCUUGUACGCCCUCCUUCUUCUUCCCCUUUGUACACUCUCGAAGGGAGAAAUGCUUGUCUUUAUUCAAAGCCUGUGCUUCCAACUCCAUGACUCUUUUGGAUAAAAAAUCCAACUGAGCUAGCAGUGCAUCCCCUUGUUUCUUUUUGGUCUCCUUGUUGGCUUCAACCAUGCCAUCUAGGAGUUCGGCUACGACGUCAUACGGCUAGUGUAGCAUACCACUCGUGAAAGGUUGAUCAACAUUACUUCUAUUAUCGGGUCCAAGACCCCUAUAGAAGCUCUCUAAUAGCACCUUGUUGGUCAUCCCAUGAGUGGGGCAUGGCUGCAGCACUGCCUGAAACUUUAGCCAGAUUUCCUGAAGGUUUUCAUCCUCUACUUGUUUGAAUGUUAGGAGGUUGUCCCUAAGAUUCAACAGUUUCAAGAGGGGGUGAUCCGUUUGAUAACUAUAAUGAUUAUUCGUACUCAUUAUCCUGCUUCUAUACACGAACAAACAAUACAAAACUAAAAAUUAAGUAAACUACGACUAAGAAGAACAAAAAUUCUACUAAUCUAAGAAUUCUCAAAUACACCACUCCCCGGCAGCGGCGCCAUUUUGAUGUUUGCAUAAUCAAGACACAACUUCCAAUGCAAGUGUCUACGAUCAUACAAUAGUAAAGUAACCCAACCAAGGGUUGGGGUCGAGUCCCAAGGUAGUGGUUUUAAGAAUUAAUAGAAAAAUAAAAUUAAGUUCAAAUUAGUCAUAGCUAAAAUAUUAUCGAAUAAGAACAUGUUAAAUCUAAAGGGUGACGCAAACGUCAAAUAUCAAUGGGAGUUUAUCACAAGUAAACAAAAAUCAUCUUAAAUAUAAAGAGUACUAAUCAAGGAGAUGGGAUUCAUGGGAUGUGAUAGGAAUACAAGAUAAAAUAAACUAUUGCGUACAUGCUUUUGAUAAUAAAUCCGUUGAAUAUUUGUGACUAGGCUAGAAUAUAGUGGGGGUAAAUUCUCUCUCAAGCAACUUACCCUGAAUCAACUUGGUUUCUCUCGAACACCGAGUUGCCGCAUGAAGAACAACCUCCGUCUUAGCCCACUCACUCUCUCAAGUUGAUUGUGUGGGAGAAGGACUAGGGUUCACUCUCUCGAGAUGAACCUCAUGUCGACCCAAUCCCACCGGCCAUCAAUUUAGUAGUCUUAGUUUUACGACCUCUCUCUCGAGCAAGCUGAAAACAUAAAUGUGAAAUCGUAUUUGCAACUACAAUUUCAUUAAGUUCCACCACAACUACUAAACGAAUCACAUCUAGACAACAAAUAAAUCAUCAACAAGCAAGACCCAACAGAUAAUUUAACCCAUAUUCACAAAAUCACACCCCAAGAAUUGGAGUUUUAGCUAGACAUGUAAAAGAGAUAGAAUUUAUACCACUAUGAGUUUGCAUUCAAAUGGGUAUGAAGAUUUAAGUCUCAAAACAAGCAAAGAGUGAAGAAUCCACAAGACCCAAGUCCAAAUUCUUGGAGUUGAAACCCUUAGAAUCUUCAAGUUCUUCAAAACCCUCUCCAAACUUAUAACUCAAAAUUCUAGGUUAACAAUACUAUAUCAAAAAUCUGAUAUUAAGCUACAACUCUCAACGAGUAUCUAUAGUUUUCAAAAAUCUGUGCUGCAGCGGAUCAUUUGGCAUCGUUAGUCGAGAUCGCCGAUCAACUCGGAAAUCAGCCAUUUGGUAGGUUUCAUCGCCAUCUUGCUCUAUCCUUCAGCAUCAUUAUGUUUUGGAUCAUUGGGUGACAUAGUACUGAUUUGCAGAACUGCUCGGCGACAUGCGGACUACUCCUUUUCACCGUCAAUUUGAUCCUUUCUUUCAGGGCUCAGUAUACCGGAAUAAAAGGCGAGGAUAAGACCUUUUGGCGACUCACCGAACGGGUUCGGCGAUUCUCAGAUCUUCAUUUUUUCAUUUUUUCAGCUUCCUUUGUUCCUUUUUGCUAAGUAGUAUCUAUGAUUUCCCUCCAACUCCAAAUACCUGAAACUUAAGGGUUUUCAUUAGAUAUUGAGGCAAAAUAUGCAUUUGAGGACACUAAUUUUAUCAAAAUACAUCCCUAAAUGAGUCCAAUUUGUGGACUCAUCACUAACUCUGGACCUAUAUCAUUUUGUAGGAAGUACACCUCCUUCGUCAAGCUGGUUAAGUAGGAAAAUUUAUAAGCAAAUUAUCCGAAGAACACUUGACAUGUUAAAAGAGUAACAAGGCAUACGAUAUUAUUUACGUCCAUUACAAAAUACAUAACUAACUUAAGAUUUUCAGAUAUAGUGUCAAUGAACUGAUUUUUUAAACUUUACUUAACUUUAUCAACAAUAACAAAAAGAAUUAAUAAACUUCAUCGUCAACUAUAGGGUCCUGCAUAGAGAGGACUUCUUGUACCCACUGUAAGCCAUAUGGAUGGGAUCCAUUCUUGACUUGCAUACAAUGUUGUGAAAGGAGACAAGGCUAGGUGAGGCGAGGUUGUAACACCUAAUUACAGUGAGGCGAGGCGAAUUUAAAUACGCGAUGGCGAUGCGAGGGGGAAACUCCUUUUAUUUGUUUUAAAAAAAAGUCUGACUUCAUAAUAUUAGUCAAAAUUAGGGUUUUCUGCAAACUUUCAUUCUCCAUCGCAGGUCACACCUGCCUCUUCUACUCUUCUCCUCAGCCACAAGUCGCGAUUGCUUCUUCUAUUCUUCUCCUUCAUGCGAGUCGCGUCUACUGCCAGGUAUGACUACGAGACCUCUUUUUUUUCUUCUUUCUUUUUGGUUCUUCUCUACUUCUUCUUCUUCUUCAAACAAUUCUCUUCUUCUACUUCUGCUUCUUUUCUCUUUUUUCUUUUCAAUUUUUCUCGUUUCUUCUUCUUCAGUCAGUCAGUUGAACAGUGAACUGAGUGCUCUGUUUUGUUGCUCACCGCUGUCUAUAUUUUUUUUUAAAUUAAAAUUUAAUCCUUUUAUAAUUAUUUCUCCCUUAGUUAAUUUAGUCUUAUACUAAUUAAUAUAGUAUUUAUUUGUUCAUAAAUAGUGAAUUCAAUGGUAUCGGAUGGUAGCAAAAAGAGGAACAUGGAUGGAAUUAUGGUACUCAAGGAUCAACAAAAGAUUUAGUUAAAUGUAUUUUUUGUGACAGUACUUUUAAUGGUGGUAUUACUCGACCCAAACAACAUUUAGUGGGUGGUUACAAAAAUGCAGAACAAUGUCCAUCUUGUUCUUCAGAGAUUAGAGAUGAAAUAACGGCUUUUAUGGAAAAUAAAAUGGCUAGUAAUCCGAAAUUUCAAGUGAGGCAGCAAGAAGAAUAUGUUAAUAUCGAUGAUGAUGAUGAUAUGGAUGAGUAUGGUGAAAUGAUGCCUCCCUCCAAAACUCCAAAGAUGUCUUCUACUGGAGGUGCAUCAUCCACAACACGAAACGUGAUGAAAGGCCCUAUGAAUCUCUAUUUUCCACAAAAAUCACAACAAAACGAAGGCAUUGAAAAAGGAGCAGGAAUUGAUGAAACCAAGAAAAUUCUAAGAGAGCGUGUGGUAAGUGCUUUUGCAUUAUGGAUGUACGAUGCAAUGCUCCCUUUUAAUUGUGUCAAUUACAAAUCAUUUGAUAAGUUCAUUGAGGCAGUAGCACAACAUGGCCCCGGAAUGAAGCCUCCUACAUUCCAUGAAGUUAGUGUUACCCAAAAAGAAGAGGUGAGUAAAGUGGAAAAAAUUGUUGAUGAGCAUAAAGUGCAAUGGACAAAGUUUGGAUGUUCCAUUAUGAUGGACAAAUGGACGGCACGAAAUGGUAAAAUGAUCAUCAAUAUUUUGGUGAAUUCUCCAAUCGGUAGUGUAUUUCUUCGUUCUGUUGAUGCUAGCAAUGAUACCAAUUCCACCAAAAUGUACAACUUGUUUGAAAGCACUAUUAAAAGAAUUGGAUCGGGAAAUGUUGUACAAAUUGUCAUCGAUAAUGCUAGUGAGAAUGUUAAAGCGGGAAGCAUGAUGAUUGGUGCAUACCCACAUAUUUAUUGGACUCCAUGUGCUGCUCAAUGCAUCAACUUGAUAUUUGGUGACAUAUUCAAGAUUAAUCAAUAUGCUUCCGGUAAUAUCACUCUCCUAUCCUCUAACUUUGUUUAUAGUCAAUAUUUAAUACUCAUUCGCUACUAAUUACUAUAAUAUUACUUUAAUAGUUUUUAAGAAGGCCAUCAAAAUUCAUUCUUACAUUAGUCAAAGGCCGUUGUUAAACUUGAUGAGAAGCUUCACCAUAGCUAGUCUGUGGGAGGAGUAUCAUGCAUGUGUUGAGAAGAUGAACCCCGAUAUAGCAAUACAAGAUUAACUAGUCGCUAUCUUCCUAGGUACAAAAUGGCGGAAGGACUAUUUGGUUGUGGUCAGGCUAAAAGAGCAAAAGACACAAGGUCACCGGGUAAGUGAGUUGAUUUAGCUCUAACUUAAAUUAUUUGACCUAUUUAUACUCAUUAACCUUUAAAUUUAUUUUAUUAUAGUUCAAUGGUGGUCAAUAUUGGUAGUCAAACACCAAACAUGCAAAAGUGAGCCAUGAAAGUAUUAAGCCUAACUUGUAGCUCAUCUGGAUGUGAGCGAAAUUGGAGUGUGUUUGAACACGUAAGAAAAAUAUUUUAUAUCCUAAUUUUCAUAUUAUAUUAUUAUUAGUAUCUAUUAGUUAAUAACUUAAUAACUAUAACUUAAGAGCGGAUUCAUUCCAAAAAGAGGAACGUGCUUGCACUAUCGCGUCUCAAUGAUCUAGACAUCUAGUGUACAUUAAGUACAAUAGAACAUUGAAACACCGUUAUGGUGCUCGUGAUAACAUUGAUCCAAUUCUCUUGGAUAACAUUGAUGAUUCAAAUGAAUGGUUAGUUGGAUUCCCUGAAGAUCAAGAAGAUGAACUAGUAUAUGAGGAAGGUUAUCUUACUUGGGGUAGCAUUUUCUAAGGCAAGUAGAGCUUACGAGAGUAUCUAUCAUCUUAGGGGACUUUUUUAAAGAUCAAGAGCACUUGACAAAGGCAAAGGAGUACAUACUACAUCUACAAGUUCAACUUCAAUUAGGACUCAGACUCUAAUUGAUGAAGAAUCCGAGGGGGGAGAAGAUGUGGAGCAAUAUAAUAAUGAUAUAGAGGAUGUUGAUCUUCAAGAGUUGAAUAAUUUUGAAGAAGAACAGACUUUUAGAGUUCUGGUAUUGCUUGUAAAUUGUCUUUUGAAUUAUUGGGUUUUUAAAGUUCUAGAUUUUUAGUAUCUACUAUUAGUUUUUCAAUUGAAAUAGUUGCUAAUAUAUAUUAUUGCAUUUGAGGUUUUGGAUAUUUAAAUAUGCAAUUAAAUAUUUUUAAUUUUUUGUAUUAAUUGGCGCCUCAAUUCAAACACGCGAGCGCCUCGCCUCUCACCUCGUCGCGAGGCGAGGCAGGCCCUUGUCGCCUUUUGUCACGUUUCGCUAUCCAAAACACUGCUUGCAUACAACCCUAAGUAAUUAAACAAAGAUUAUCUGAAGGCUCAUCCUCAGGCCUCAGUGAAGGCCCUUAUUCAAAAAAGAGAAUUAUCGGAAUUGUGAGACUAUUGGCCUUUAUAUCCUUUUAAUCCAGUCAAAAGAAAAUAUAAAUCUUAUUUUUAUAAGAAUUGGAAGAGGAAAAGGAAGAAUGAUAUAAACAUUUCCUACAUAUUGUUGAACAAUUCUAGAGUUUCACUAUGAGUUGGGUAAGUGAUUCAUUGCUAGAGAAACCAAUAAUGGGUCUACUUACAAACUCACGUUCACUAUAGUCAAGCUCGUAAUUUGAUUAUUGGUCUAGGCAACCAAAAAAGACCAUAGAAAACUAAGAAUAUACAAUCAUAAGAUAGCAAUAAAUCAAAUUUUGAAACGUAUGCAAAUAGAGGAAAAACCUUUCUCCUUUGACAGAAAGUACACCAGCUAUGAGAUCACUAUAACCGGAUAUGAACAUAGUAGUUGAAUGCACCACAAUAUCUACAAAACCAUGGACAAGUAAGCUAACAUUCAAUGCAUGUUAUUGGAGAGUAUUCCAGUUAGCUGAACAAAAAGAAUUUGCAAAAUACCUGCUCUGAGCUCCAAAGGAUGGGACAAUACUUUGGAGAUAAUGUUGUUAUCUACUAGCACAAGAGCCCCAUGUGCAUGAGCCAUCUUGGCAAUUUCUGUGAUGAGUCAAAAGAGACAACAAUAUGAGACAAACAAUCAUUAUCUUUUGAAGAUCUAUAGAUUACUAUCUAUCAGCAAUCGUAAAAGCUGAAAAUUGUACGUGCGUAGUCUACAUAUGCAAUUGUCAAUCACCCACAUGAAUAUCACAAAUUUGUUUAUAAGGGUUUGUUGGACUUUCCUGCCAAACAAGCUUUGUCCAUAGUUUAAUCACAAAAGCAACCUCAUCUAAGUUAGCGGUAUCCACUCGCCUGUACAAAUAAGAUAACAAUCAAGAUUCUAAUAACCUAACAAACAACGUAGUUACAUUGACAAUCAUGACUCAGGAAGUUGGGUCGUGACUCAGGAAGUAGGGUCGGACACAUAUAUACUUUAGUUGAGUUGGAUAUGAAACACUCCAACACACUAUAUCCUCGUCUUUCCGUUAGAUUUAGAGUAAGAGGCUCCAUGUCUAUGUUAUUUUGCCUAUGCUUCUUAUUGGUAGUUCACUUUUCCCCUAUCCUUGAGUGCGCUAGUGUCAAGCAAAUUGCUUAUGCUUCCAUCUCUUUAUGCAUUGCUUAUUCUUAAGGUUUUCUAUUAGAUGUGGUAUUCAAAAAGUAACAUUGUUUUGGAACUUAUAUGGUUUUCGUUCUCUAUAGAAUAUGGUUUCUGCCUUACCAAAGCAAAAGAAAUAGCUGCACAUUUACUAUUAUCAACAGGGAAAAAAUUUCUGAGAAGGCAAAUAUCAUUAGGAAGUAGUUUGAUAGGAAAAAAUGAUCACAGAAAAUAGAAAUUGAGCAUAGGAUGAAACUAACAAAAACUUAUUGUAAUGCUGAAGUACUUGGUACCCUAGCAACAUGCUUAAAGAGUGGCACAAAAUCAUUUAGUAAACUUAGCAUUGAUCAUACACCCAUAUCAUGCAAAUUGAUCAACAUUUAAACAGUAAGUCUCUAUUGAGAGCUUCAUGAUGGUAGGACAUUGACAACCAUAGCGCCUUAAUUUAAAUUCCCCAAAAAAUCACUUGUUUGAAAAUGUGAGAGAAGUGCGAUGACUUCCUUGGAUGGUCUAGAAGACUUGGAUAAAUGAGCUUCCCUCGUGAAUGGGAGGAUAAGUAUUCAGCAAUUUUUGUGCAUUCUCCUACAAGAUAUUGAAAUUAAUUAGCUAGAACACUAUGAUGUGCCAGAAUUUUACGAACCACCCAAACUUCUCUGGACAAUAUUAUGAUGGAGAUGUAACACUAUGCAUGCCAUAAUCAUUAAAAUCUAUAAGGUCAAGAAUAAUAGAUUAACAAAGGUGUAGGAAGGCAUAUAUGUUUCUCGAACGAGUGGUGGGACAACUAGUUUCACCACCAAAAUAAGCAAAUAAAAUUAAACCUGUUGUUUUUCAAUGCGAAGAGCCAUUGUUUUGAUUCCUCUCAAACAAAGCUAAAAUUGAAUGGCGCUAACCUAGGACCUUCAGCAUUUUGUAGGAAGUACACCUCCUUCACCAAGCUGGUCAUGUAGGAAAAUUUAUAAGCAAAUUAUUAGAAGGACACUUGAGAUGUUCAAAGAGAAACAAGGCAUCAGACAUCAUUUAUGUUCAAUACGCUAAACAUAACUAACUAAUGAUUUUCCGAUAUAGACUUGUCAAUGAACCGAUUUCUUAUACUUUACUUAACUUUAUCAACAACAACAAAAAGAAUUCUUAAACUUCAUGGCCAAUUAUGAGGGCAGCCAGUGCAUUGAGGAAAAUAAUUUUAAUGUCACGAAAUAUUGCACAAAUUUGUGCAUUACAGGUGUAUAUGAUGCUGCAUAGUAGUUGAAUGCAUCACAAUAUCUACAUAACCAUGGACAAGUAAGCUAACAUCUGAUACAUGUUAUUUGAGAGUAUUCCAGUUAGCAGAACAAAAAAGUAUUUGCAAAUUACCUGCUUCGAGCUCCAAAGGAUGAAAAAGUACUAGGGAUACAAUGUUGUUAUCUACUAGCAUAAGAGCCCGAUGUGCAUUAACCAUCUUGGAAAUUUUCUAUAAUAAAUCAGAAAAGACAAUACUAUGAGACAAAAAAUUAGAAAAGAUGAUACAAUCUCGGAAAUUUUCUGUAAUAAACCAGAAAAGACAAUACUGUGAGACAAACCAAUCAUUAUCUUUUGAUGAUCAAUCAAUAUAUAUUAUCUAUCCUCAUCAGUAAAAGUUGAAAACUAUACAUGCAUAAUCCACAUAUGACUUUGUCAAUCACCAGCAAGAAUAUCACAAAUUUGUUUAUGAGUGUUGGUCAGAAAUUUUGUGAAUGGUUUAAUCACAAAAGCAACCUCAUCUAAGUUAGUGGUAUCCACUCGACUAUACAAAUAAUAUGACAAUCGAGAUUCUAAUAACCUAAUUGAAAACAAAGAUACACCGACAAUAAAAAUUCUAAUCACUGUCCCCUCCGCGUUGGUGGAGGAGUGUUGCGUUACUUGACGUUCUGGAUACGGGUUGGCUUACCUACUGGUGGGCUAUAUUAGGUGCCAUCAUGACUCGGGAAGUCGGGCCCUGACUCAAAUAUACUUUAGUUGAGUUGGAUAUGAAAUAGUCCAAAACACUAUCUCCUCGUCUUUCUGUUAGAUUUAGAGUAAGAGACUUCAUGUCUAGGUUAUUUUGCCUAUGCUUCUUAUUGGUAGUUCAGUUUUCCGCUAUCCUUGAUUGCGCUAGUGUCAAGGAAGAAUUACUAUGCUUCCAUCCCUCUAUGUAUUACUCAUUCUUAAGGUUUGCUAUUAGAUGUGGUAUUCAAAAAUAAACAAGGCAUUACGUUUAAUACGCUAUACAUAAGUCAUAACUAACUAAAGAUUUUCAGAUAUAGAUUUGUCAAUGUACUAAUUUCUUAAACUUUAACUUUAUCAACAACAACAAAAAGAAUUCUUAAACUUCAUGAUCAAUUAUGUUUCAAUUAGAAAAUGCAAUGAGGAUAAUCAUCAGAUUACCUAGAAAGGAUACUUCACCAGUUUAGGCAGAUUUGCCAACUGUUGCAGAACCUGAUGACUAGAAAUCCUUCUUUUCAGUGAAGCGCACCCAAGAAGAUGGAGAGCAACAACAAAUAAAUGCAUACUAUUUUUAGAAGAAUUUUGACUUGUGACGCUACUUAUCUGCCCACGGUGUUUACCACCUUUCAGUUGCUGAAUGUCCCCAGAUUUCCACUCAAGUAAACUUAGUACAGUUGAUGCGACAACCAUCCCAAGUGCAUCCAAACAUUGUUUAACAACAUCAUUCUUCUCCUUAACCAACCUAUCAAUGGUUUAGAGCAAUUUAGAAUUGCAAAACAAUAGUGGCAACCACCUCUUCCCAUUCAUACAAAGUAGAGCCACAGAUAUGAGUACCUUUCCCUUCAAAACUUCACUUCCCUACUCAAUUAAUUAGAGUCAACAGAUGAAGAACAAGAUUCUUGCCUUUGACCAAGGCAAGAUGGUACCUUUCACAAAUUUAAUUAGGGAAAUUUGUGGUUGUCUAUUUUGAUGAUAUCUUGAUCUAUAGCAAAACCAUGCAUGAUCAUGUUGAGCAUUUGAAAUGUGUGUUUGAUGUGCUUAGGAAGGAACAACUUUAUGCUAAUCUUGAGAAGUGAUCAUUUUAUGUUGAUGAAGUUGUUUUCUUGGGUUUUGUUGUGAGCUCAAGAGGGGUGGAGGUUGAUGAGUCUAAAAUAGACGCUAUUAAGAAUUGGCCAAUUCCAAAAUCCAUAAGCGAUGUUAGAAGCUUUCAUGGGUUGGCUAGUUUCUAUAGGUGGUUUGUCAAAGGUUUUAGUACCAUAGCAGCCCCCUUGACCGAGGUAAUCCGAAAGGAUAAACCUUUAAAGUGGGGAGAGGAGCACGCCAAAUAUUUUGAGGCUUUAAAAUCCAUGCUUAGCUCCACUCCGUGGUUGCAAUUACCUGAUUUUGAUAAAAUGUUUUAGGUGGAAUGUGAUGCUAGUAAAGUAGGCAUUGGAGCUGUCUUAAUGCAAGACCAAAAACCCAUUGGUUAUUUUAGUGAAAAGCUAAAAGGUGCUACUUUGAAUUAUUCCACCUAUGAUCUUGAAUUGUAUGAUUUGAUUAGAGCAUUGGGUAAUUGGCAGCACUACUUGUGGCCCAACAAAUUUGUCAUUAGGACUGAUCAUGAGUCCCUAAAGCAUAUUCAGGCCCAAGGGAAGUUGAACAAGAGACACGCCAAAUGGAUUGAAUUCCUUGAAACUUGCCCUUAUGUAAUCCAAUACAAAAAAGGGAAGGAAAAUGUGGUGGCCGAUCCCUUGUCUAGAAAACAUGUGUUGAUAAAUACUUUGUCUUCUAAGUUGAUUGGUUUUGAAUAUUUGAAGACAUUGUAUCCCAUGGAUCCCGUGUUUGCUCAAAUCUUCAAAGAUUGUGAGGAAUGAGAGAGGGAAAGGUGGAUGAGUGAUAGAUCUUCUACUCCCUAUUCCAAGUUUGAUGGUUCUUGUUCAAGGGCAAGAGACUUUGUGUGCCUAUGAGCUCUUGGAGAGAACUAUUUUUGAGGGAGGCACACGAUAGGAUAUUAAUGAAUCAUUUUGCUAUUGAUAAAGCUAGGGGAAUUCAUGAGGAACAAUUCUAUUGGCCAAAAAUGCAAGGAUGUUGUUCGAAUUUGUGGUCAAUGUGUUGAAUGUCGAUGUGGUAAGUCACGCCUCCUUCCCCAUGGUUUAUACACUCCCCUCCCUACCCCUCAAAGACCUUGGCUUGAUAUUUCCAUGGAUUUUGUUUUGGGUUUGCGGAGGACAAAAAGAGAUAGAGAUAGCAUCUUUGUUAUUGUUGAUCGAUUUUCAAAGAUGGCUCAUUUCAUUCCAUGUCAUAAAUUUUUCUUCCAAUGUGGCAUCUUUGUUUGUUGAACAUGUUGUUAAAUUGCAUGGAAUUCCUCAAACCAUUGUAAGUGCUAGGGAUCCAAAAUUCCCUAGUCACUUUGGGAAGGAAUUGUGGGGUAGACUUGGUACCAAAUUGUUGUUUUCAACUUCUUGUCACCCGCAAACCGAUGGCCAAACUGAAGUUGCGAAUAGGACCUUGGGUUCUAUGCUUCGUGCUAUGGUGCAUGGAAAGUUGGCUUCAUGGGAGGAACAUUUGCCUUUAGUUGAAUUUUCUUAUAAUAGAGUUAUUCAUAGAACUAUUGGUAUGACUCCUUUUGAAGUGGUUUUUGGUUUUAAUCCCGCAACCCCUUUAGAUCGCACUCCUCUUUAUCAAGAUCUUGUGUUAAGCUUAAAUGGGAGCAAGAGAGCUGAAGAAAUGAAGAAGCUUCAUGAAAAGGUGCGGCUGCAUUUAGAGAAGAAGAACCAAGAAGUAGCCAAAAAGGGUAACAAGGACCACAAGAGGCUUUUUGUUUUCCAUCCCUUUUCCAAUCUUUCUUUUCUUCCUUCUCAUUCGCAUGGACAAAAGGAUCUACUUCAAAUUAGGGGGGAAAUUAUAUGAUCUGAUUGAAACUAGAUCAACCACAGAUUUUUGGUAUGAAUGGGUGGAGAGUGCAAGGCUACAUAUGAGAAGGAUGAAGCUUAGCAGGGGUGCACUCCUAUGGUUAUGCAAUAGAGUCAAAGAUGCUUCAUCCAUUAAAGGGAAACCAUUUAAGACCUGUAAAUGCAAAGAUGCAACUAUCAGCAUUUACUGUACCUUAAAGUACAAUAGAUAUGGAAAGUUUAUCUCUGUUGUCUCAGUAAAUGGCCUGGCCUAAACAAUGAUUAUUUUACUAGAAAGCUCAUUCAAUGAAGGAUAGGGGGACUUGUCUUAAAGAUAGGCAGGAGUACAAGUCUCUAUUACAGAGCAAGGAGGUCCCACUUCUAUGGGACUCAGGGGAAAUGAUAGUUACAAAGAAAUUAUACAAAGAAAGAAAUGGAGUGCUGGAGAGUAGAGCUUGACUCCUUUCUCUGAAGGAGAAAAAGGACCCCUUAGUAAAUGUUUGGUGGGGAAAUUCCUAGGGUGCGAUGAGAUAGCCACCCGGAGUGAGGUUAUGAGCUAGGCGAAAAAGGCAUGGAUGGGCAUCCACAAUCUGCAGAUCUAUGACAUGAAUUGAACUCAAUUCCUAUUUGAGUUUCAAUCGAGCCGAGAUAUAGAGCACAUACUCAUGGGAGAGUGGGGUCGAAAAAAUCAUCUUCUGCUUCUAUAAUGGUGGACAUUAACGGCAGAAUCUUUUUCGGCACAAACAAACUUUGAGUGGUUCUAGGUGCGUAUCCUAGGUCUACCAUUGUAGCUUUGGAAUGACAAAGUGAUGAAACAAAUUGGAGAUCUUUGUGGGGGAUGGCUGGACACGGAGGAAGAGACUUAAUUGAAAAAUCAUCUACGAUGGUCUCGAAUCCGAGUGCAGGGAUCGAGAGAGAAAAUUCCUUCUUCAGUGGGGCUUAAUGAUGGUGAACUCAUAUUUACACUGCCGUUAUGGGUUGAAUCUCCGGCCAGAUACCGGAGGAAGGAAAGGGAUGAGCCCAAUAAUCGAGGCAGCAAUAUGAGGAGUGAGAAAGGAAAGUCUAUAGAAAACCCUAAUCUACAGUUGAUAGAGAUAGAUGACAGAAUAGGGAAAUCUUUUUCGAAAGAUUGUCCAGUGGUCCUUAGCAAGGAAUCUGGCACUUUUACUAGUAGGAGCCACAUGACCCUUGAAGGAAAUGUGUCAACACAUGUGCAUGGAGUUGACCCAGACAGUCACAAUAAUUUUAUAGGGCAGAAAAUUUGUGGGAAUUGUUGUGGGCCUAUUAAAGCCCAAACCCGUGAUAGCCCAAAUUUCAUUAAAGGGAAAAGUGUUGAUCCCAUUUUAAAAUUUCCUCAAAUAAGUCAAGAAUACACUUUUUUUUCUCGAAAUUCUCCUAAUAACACAGAGCUGGAGUCUGUUAUGAGAAUGAAGAUCAAGAAAAUACAUGGAAGCCAGAAUUCAAGCGAAGAACAUGAGGAAAUUAACAUGCAGAGUGAAGGAAGAAGAGAGAAAAAUGACCUAAUUACCCUCUCUACGGAAAAUGCACAUGAAAAUCGGACUGGAGAAAACAAAGUCAGUUGUCAAUAGGACAUAUUAGAAUAUAUGAGGUGCCAGUGCCAAUUUGGAUGGAAGAACCUUUGUCGGAGCAUGAAAUCGAGGACAAGGCUACUAUCUGGGUGCAAACCAAUGUCCUAAAAUUUAGCAGGAUGUUUGGCGCAGCCUUUGAAGGAUGUGAUAAAAUAGCUUUUGACCUUUUUAUGAAGAUAGCUAAAAAAAGGGGGUUAUUAGAUCAAAAGAAGGAGGCGAACAAAAAAUACACCAAGUAGAACUCUAUUCCUAAAGAACUCAGGAACCUUGAAUUCCAUGUAAAUUUUAAGGAUGGGGAACCUAGAGGUAGGGGGAUAAUAACACCCCUGUUACUCAAAUGAAGAUAAAAAUCAAAUUUUGGAAUGUGAGAGGGUUGAAUGAGAGGGGGGGGGCGGGUAAAAGGUGCUUGGUUAGAGGUUUAACUAAGCAAUGGGGAGCUGAUGUUUAUGUCUUUCUUGAGACAAAACUGAUGGGAGGGGAUGCUAUUUUAUUAGGAGAACUUCAUUUAGAUGUUGUGGGAAGAAGUGGAGGGAUAGUGGUGAAGUGGGAUAAGAGGUACUAGAAGGGGGAGUUGGUAAGGGUAGGAGGGAAAAUGCUUACAUGUAAAUUGAUAGGCAUAGAACAACAUCUUUCUUGGUUUCUAAGUGUUGUCUAUGCUGACUAUAACAUAGUGAGCAGAAUGGAACUAUGGAAGGACCUAACAACAAUUAGAGAUUCUUGUGAUGGGCCAUGGGUUGUGUGCGGUGACUUCAACAUCACUAGGACUCCUAAUGAGAGAACCGGCACUCAAAGUCUAUUUGAGACAAUGGCAGAGUUCAUUGAUUAGAUUAAUGAGAUGGACUUAAUUGAUCCUCCUUUAUUUGGAGGAUCUUUUACUUGGAGAAGCGGGGAAAACCACACAAUGGCGUCAAGAAUAGACAGAUUCCUAUAUUCUAGUCGAUGGGAGGAGUUGUUUCAACAAAUCAGACAGAGUGCUCUUCCGAGAGUAGGUGCAGAUCACAACCCCUUCCUCUUGUAUUGUGGAUAAUGGACUCCAAGGAAAACCUAUUUCAAUUUUGAACAAUGGUGGAUAAGAGUGGAGGGUUUCAAGGAGAAAGUCAUAGAAUGGUGGACAUCCUUUUUAGCUUCCUAUAUGCUGGCACAAAGUUGAAGAUGUUUAAAGGUAAUCUAAAGGAAUGUGGGUUUGAAAACAGAGGUAACUGGAAGAAGGGAAGACAUCCUGAAUCAAAUAGCCAACCUUGAAGAAAUCCAGGAACAAAGACCACUAAAUGAGGAUGAGAUACUUCACAAAGUCAAUCUCACAAACGUGUUUGUAGAAGUGUCUAGGAAUAAGGAAGUAGCAUGGAGAAAGAGGUCAAGGGUAUAAUGGUUGAAACAAUGGGAUAAGAAUACCAAAUACUUCCACACAUUUUGCACAACCCACAGAAGAUAUAACACAAUUGAAAAAAUAGAAGUGGAAGGGGUAACUAUCACUAAACCAGAAGAGAUCAAGCAGAUGAUUGUAAGCAUUUAUCAAAAGCUUUAUAAGGAACCAGAGCAAUGGAGACCAUGUUUAAACUUUCAGGGAUAUGAAGGAGUCAAUGAAGAAGAGAAUGUUUGGUUACAUAGACAGUUUGAGGAAGAGGAAGUUCUAGAAGCACUCAAGUUGUGUGCUAGUGACAAGGCCCCGGGCCUAGAUGGUUUCCCUAUGAGUUUCUACCAGACUUCUGGGAAAUCAUGAAGGUAGAUAUCAUGAAUACAAUGCAACAGUUCCAUGAUCAACAUGUUUAUGAAAAGAGUUUGAAUGCAACCUAUAUAGCUCUAAUCCCUGAGAAAGUAGGAGCUGUUGAAUUAAGAGACUUCAUAUUUAUUAGUUUGAUAAGUGGAAUCUACAAAAUAAUUGCCAAACUUUUAGCAGAAAGACUUAAAAGGUGUUAAGCAAGCUAGUCAAUAAACAUCAAACGACCUUCAUCAAAGGGAGACAUCAUUGACGCAACUUUGAUAGCAAGUGAAUGUGUUGACUCAAGAAUUAAAGGGGACGAUCUUGGCAUUAUGUGUAAAUUGGACAUAGAGAAGGCAUAUGAUCAUGUAAACUGGAAAUUCCUGUUCAAAAUUCUAGAGUAGAUGGGUUUUGGGGUAAAAUGGUCUAUGUGGAUUGGCUUAUGUAUAAAAGCCGUUAGGUUCUCCAUUGCAGGUUUUUUCCGUCAGAAAGAUUACUCAGGCAGGGAGAUCCACUCUCUCCUUUCCUGUUCAUCUUAGCCAUAGAGGGUUUUAACAGCAUGAUGAGAGUGGCUAUUCAAAAUCGUUGGAUAAGAGGAUUUGUGAUUGGCUAUCUUUCAGGGGAUGAGAUGCAAAUUUGUCAUCUAUUAUAUGCAGAUAAUACAAUCAUAUUCUGUGAAGAAAAGGCAAGUUUGAUUUCAUUCAUAAGGAUUACGUUUGUGAUAUUCGAGGCAGUUUCUGGGAUAUCAAUAAAUUAGAGGAAAAGCUGCAUAUUUCCCAUUAAGGAGGUUCCUCAAAUACAAAGUUUGGCAACUAUUUUGCGGUGCAGAGUAGAGCAGCUUCCAAUGCCCUAUUUAGGCAUCCCACUGGAGACAAUUACAAGGAGUUAGAAAUAUGGGAUGGCAUCAUUGAGAAGACUGAAAAGAGAUUGGCUAACUGGAAAGCCCAAUACAUCUCAUUAGGAGGGAGAGUUACUUUGAUAAACUCUAUUUUGGACUCACUGCCUACUUAUGUAAUGUCACUGUUUCACAUCCCUUCUAAGCUGGAAGAAAGGCUUGACAAGCUAAGAAGAUAUUUUUUGUGGUUGGGAAACAAAGAAGUAAAUGGCCGACAUUUAGUUAAUGGAAGGUUGUACAACUUCACAAGCAGUCAGGUGGACUUGGAAUCAGAACUCUGAGAAUUCAAAAUACAUGUCUUCACUCAAAGUGGCUAUGGAGGUUUACCAGUGAAACACAUGAUUUGUAGAGAUAGGUGAUAGUAAGCAAAUACGGUAUGGAUGGAAAAUGGUGCUCCAACUUAGUGAACGACAUCUAUGGAGUUUCAAUAUGGAGAACCAUUAGGAAGUUGUGGCCUAAUCUAAUCAAAAUAUAGACUAUAAAGUGGGAACUAGAACCAAGACUUCAUUCUGGAAUUUGUCGCUAAUGUUUGGUCCCAACAGGAAUGGAACAUUAUGUUUAGAAGAUUCCUUAAUGAUUGGGAUAUUGGUAGAGUCGUUGCUUUAUUACAAAUAUUGGAUGGGUUUACAGGGACAACAAUGGAGGAAGACUCUAUUAGAUGGAGACAUAGUAGUGAUGGGGUGCUAUCAGUUAACAGAUGAUAUAUCAAGGAAGUGAAAGAGUUUCAAGGUGGUAAGAUUGGUCCCUCGAACCAGAUAUGGAAAACCAAGGUAACAGCCAAGGUGAAGUGUUUCUCCUGGCUGGUGGCAAGGAAAUGUUGCUCCACUCAUGAAAGAUUAAAGAAGAGAGGCUUUCACAUUGCUUCUUGGUGCUCCCUAUCUAAUGAAGUUGAGGAAACUAAUAGACACUUGUUCCUAUAUUGCAGAGUGACAACAUUAUUAUGGAACUUAUUUUUAGGCCUAACACAAACAGAGUGGACAAUGCCGUAACACACAACAGAUUUACUCAAUUGCUAGAUCAGAAGAGGGGGGAGUUUUACUCAGAAAAAAUGGUGGAGUAUGAUUCCAUCAUGCAUAUGGUGGUCCAUAUGGAACGAGAGAAACAAUAGGUUUUUCGAAAACAAGGCUAAUACUUUUGAUAAGGUUAAAUGGUUGGGUAUGACAACCUUUUAUUUUUGCUGUAAAGAAGAAGGAAUAGAUCAAAAUGCACAAAUUUAUAGAUUUUAUAAAAAAUAUGUAAUGUAGUAGUUGUUUUGUCUUAGAUUGAAAUGAUGUAAAUGUUUUGGAGGUCUCCAGCAUGUCCUUAAUGCUGAUGAAUACAACCUUACCCUUAUAAAAAAAAAGGGACCACAAGAGGGCUGUGUUUGAACCAGAUGAUUGGGUGUGGGUACAUUUUUGCAAGGAAUGAUUCCCCACUCAUCGCAAGACGAAAUUGAUGCCAAGAGGUGAUGGACCAUUUCCGGUGCUUGAAAGACUCAAUGUCAACACCUACAAGGCUAACCUUCCUCUAGAGUAUCAAGUGCAUAACACUUUCAAUGUGUGCGACCUGUCACAAUUCCCAACAGUUGAUGAUGAUGAUCCGUCGAAUUUGAGGACAAAUUAUUUUCAAGAAGGAGAGAAUGAUGUAAUCUGGAUACAUCAAUAUCAUACACACGGAGUCAAGCUCGAGACCUUCACAAAAUGCAAGGUUUAUUCAUAAAGUUAGAGGUCUUUGAGCUCAUGUUGAUGGCAAACAAAGGGUUCCAUGCCUUGAAGAUUGCUUGAGGAGAUGCUACUACUUUUGGCGAGCAGGAGCCAGUUAGCGCACCGCCCAAUGGCUUGGGAGAUGGCCCCAGCUCGCCUAAGGUUCCAGAACAUGGCUAGAGCGUGAACCAAGUAGGAACCACCGCCAAACCAGUCGGCGUACUGCCAAGUUCCUUAGGCGAGCCCUAAGGAGGUAGAACAAUGGAGACCUGAGUUGAGACUGCAAGAGGCUACAAUGAUCACUGAAGAAGAAAAAGUAUGGCUGCAGGGACUUUUUGAGGAAGAAGAGAUAAGGGUAUGUUUGAACUUAUGUGUAAAGGAGAAAUCCUCGAGUCCUGAUGGAUAUCCGAUGGUAUUCUUCUAGACUUUUUGGGCCCUGUUGAAGGAAAACAUCACCAAUACAAUUUAAUUUUUUCAUUCUAAUCAGAUUUUUGAGAAAAGUUUUAAUGCAACUUUUAUUGCUUUAAUCCCAAAGAAACCUGGAGCAUCAGAGUUCAAGGAUAUUAGGCCAAUCAGCCUGGUGGAGGGAGUCUACAAGAUCAUUGCUAGAUUAUUGGUUGAAAGGCUAAAAAAGGUGGUGUCUAAAUUGAUCAACAAACAUCAAAUGGCUUUUGUAAAGUGGAGGUAAGUCAUGGAUGCAACACUCAUUGCUAUUGAAUGCAUUGACUCAAGAAUGAAAGGAGGACCCCCUGGUCUAAUGUGCAAAUUGGAUAUUCAGAAAGCCUAUGAAAACUUGAAUUGGUCUUUCCUUCUGAAUACUCUUAGACAAAUGGGAUUUGGCAGCAAAUGGAUGAAGUGGAUUGAGGUAUGUAUAAAAACAGUCAAGUUUUUUGUCCUUGUGAAUGGGGAACCCGUGGGCUUUUUCGAAUCAGAAAGAGGGCUGACAUAGGGUGAUCCUCUUUCCCCUUUCUUAUUCAUUUUGGCAAUGGAAGGCUUUGAUAGUAUGAUGAGGAUUGCAACACAAAACAGAUGGAUUAGAGGCUUUCAGGUCGGAGAUACAGUGGGAGAAGAAAAAGAAGUGUGUCAUAUGCUCUAUGCGGAUGACACUAUCAUCUUUUGUGAACCUACAACAUAAUAGAUUAGCUACAUCAGAGUGAUUUUGGUUUUGUUUGAAGCAGUUUCAAGGUUGAAAGUAAACUGGGUAAAAAGUAGUCUCUUUCUGAUAAAUGAGGUCCCUCAGAUCUAGCAACUAGCAAAUAUAUUGGGAUGCAGAGUGGAGCAUUUGUCUACCAUAUACCUGGGAAUUCCCCUGGGUAGCAAACAAAAAACAAUGGAGAUAUGGAAUGGCAUUCUGGUGAAAACAGAAAAGAAACUUGCUAGAUGGAAGGCACAAUAACUAUCCCUAGGGGGUAGAUUGAUCCUCAUAAACUCUGUUCUGGACUCUUUGCCAACCUAUGUGAUGUCCUUGUUUCCAAUCUCAACAAAGGUGGUGAAAAAACUAGACAAGCUUAGAAGGAACUUCCUAUGGAAAAGAAAUAAGGAGGGAAAGGGUUAUAAUUUAAUCAACUGGAAGAGUGUUCUUCUUAGCAGAGAAAGAGGGGGUUUAGGGAUCAAAAAUUUGAGGAUGCAAAAUGAAAGACUUUUGAUGAAAUGGCUAUGGAGAUACACUGAGGAAGAUGCAACUCUCUGGAAGGAGGUUAUAGUAUCAAAAUAUGGAGAACUAAUCCCUGGUGUACAAAAAUCACUUCUGAACCAUAUGGGGUGGGGCUAUGGAGAACAAUCAGGAACCUAUGGUCACAAAUGGAAGGAAAUAUGUAUAUGAAGGUGGGUAAUGGAAACAAAACUAAAUUUUGGAAAGAUGGUUAGAUAGACCAAACGUCUCUUACAGAACUUUUUCCAGAUUUGUUUCUAAUCUGUGAGAACCCUAAUGCUAGAGUGAGUGAUUAUUGAAUAGAACAGGGAUGAGACAUAUCUUUAAGAAGACUACUUAAUGACUAGGAGGUGGUGAGGAUGGCGGCCCUACUGGAAAAACUAGCUGGAAUGAUUAUAACCACAACAGCAACAGACAAGAUCCUGUGGAAACAUAGUAAGGAUGGAGUCUUCUCAGUCAACAAUGCCUACAAAAGAGGAAUACUGGGGACGAUAGGGGCCCCAAAAUAUAAUUGGAACUACUUUUGGAAGAGUGACAUUCCUACAAAAGUAAAGUGUUUCACCUAGUUAAUGAUAAAGAGAGCAUGUUUAACAGAAGAAGUUCUACAAAAGAAAGGCAGACAACUGGUCCCUAGAUGUUUUUUUGUGCAACUUCACAGGGGAAACAAAUAACCAUCUCUUCCUGCAUUGUAAGUUUACUACUCAAAUUUGGAACUUGUUUCUCAACAUCAAAAGCAUGAAAUGGACAAUGCCAGAACAUACAUCAGAUCUGUUGAGCUGCUGGAUUAGGAGAGGAGGCAGUAAGAGUCAAAGAGAUGGUGGAAGCUAAUACCAUCAUGUGUAUGGUGGUCAGUCUGGAAAAAAAGAAAUGGAAGAUGUUUUGAAGACAGAUCCAAUUCCAUCCACAAAAUUAAAUGGAAUUGUAUAGUAUCUCUACUUUUUUGGUGUAAACAGCUUUGUAUAGAUGAUAUAGACCAGAUUAUAGAUUUGAUAGGAAAUCUGUAAUUAUCCAUUUUUGGAGGUGGCCAACAUACCCUUAAUGCUGAAAAAUUCAACUUUACCAGUUUAAAAAAAAAAGAGUUCCUUAGGCGAGCCCAACUUGGCUCGCCCUUUAUCCUUUCGGGUCACUUUUGUUCCUUUUUCACCUAAAACUAUAAAUAGCUAGUUUGGGUUCAUUUUAGACUUACACUAUUUUGAAUAUUGAUGUUGAAAACUGAAAAACUCAUGUUUGAGUGUUGAGAGCUUGGAUAAGCUUUUGUUGAUUGUUGUUUAGAAUCGUCAGUUCCUUGGGAUAUCGAUUCCCUUGAGGUCGUCAUAAGAGUUAGGUGCUAUAGUUGGAUUAACGAAUCGAGGUCUUAUGGUUUAAUAUACCCUUUGGUUGCUUUUUGUUUCCUGUUGCGUGUCUAUUUAUCUAUCUUUACUUUCUUGUAUUUUUAUUUCCGCAUUGUUUUGUGAUUCCCUUUUAGGAAUUUCAUCAAUGCGUCUUCUCUUUUUUGGCAACUCUUAAAUUUCAUCUUUUCACAUGACAUGUUUAAGACAACGAGAUUGAAGAACAUUUGGUUCAUUCGACAUAUCCUUAGUUUAAGUUCACAAGAUUUCAAAGUCUUCUUUACUUUCUUAAAAUCCAUUCCAAGUCAAAACAAGACAAAAAUUAAUAUGGAGGGAGUAAUUAACUUGAAAAGUUGCACCAAUAAGAAGUUACAAAAACAAAGAUAUCUGCCAACAGGAUGAGGGUCGUCUAUCCUCAGAUGGAGAUUCCAAUGGUUUAUUAUCCUGACCAUGGUCAUUUUGAGUAGAUAUAUAAAAUAGUAAUUAGCCCAAAGCAGCCAUGGAAAACCUUCUCACUUUCUCUUUCCUGUCUCUCAGACCAUCAGUUAGUGCACCUAAUAUUCCAGAAUUUGCCAGCGCAUCCCCAAAAAAAGUAGAGUCACGAAUCAACAAGCCAAUACAUGAAGCAAGUUUAACAUGCAACAGAGAUACCUUGGAGUCCCGAAAUAUUUUGAGUAGAACCAAUACAAUAGACCCAUUGGUCAAGUGUAUCAAAUGAAACUGAAGGAAUUGCAUUUGAACCUUUAUCUGAUUUUCUGCUAGGUAUUAUUACAGGUCUGGCUGAGAGAUCAAAUAGAUGCCAAAUAAUAUCUGAAAAGUUCGUAGAUGGUUUUGAGAUAUCAGAGAAAUAAUAUUUUUAUAAGAACUAGAAGAGGAAAAGGAAGAAUGAUUGAACUUCCACGUCAGAUUAUUGGUCAAAAGCACUUUCAAAACGCUUACCUUUAAUGAAAUUCCAAACAGUUAUGCCAGCUAUUUAACUUUUCCUUUGUUCACUUCAGGGCAAAAAGGAGGGAAGAGAGUGGUGAACUACCUGGGAGGAAGGUGUCUUUUAUAUAUCACUCAAUUUUCUUGCAAAUCCAAAAUCACACAGCUGCCAGGAAACAAAUAGAACUCCAACGUCAUAUAACUAGUCAAAAGCAUUCAUCAUUAUGUGGAAAAGUCGCAACAUAAAUAUCACCAUACCUUUGCGAUUCCAUUUUCAUCCAAUAGGAUGUUUGAUAGCUUUAAGUCACAGUAAAUUAUUCCCUUUGAAUGCAAGUAUCUGGUAUAGUAGACAAAAUACCAAAAAAGUAAUUCUUGCCAAAAACAACAAGUGUUACAAAAGAACAAUGAAGGCUAAAGUUAUUUACUUACAAAAGAGCUCUAACAAGGCCACAAGCAACUUCAUGUAUUGAAUAUUCAGGAAGCUUGCCAUCCUUCAAGCAGAGAUUAAAUGAUGUUAAAAAUCUCCCAGGUGUGGUUUAAACUAACAUACAGGUAAGAUGAUGUAGAUACGAGUUGUGACAUUACCAACUACAGUAAACUGGGGUCAUUUUGACUACUCUUUAAAUACAAAUAAAAAGAGAAACCUAUUUCUUUCACAUCAUUUUACUAGCAUUAGAAACAAGUUAGUGCAAAGAUUGAGAACCUUUAUUUGUGAGAAUACAAACAAUCAUCUCUAUUAAACUGUUCAAUCACACAUGACACUGAUGUCCUUAGUGCCUGUUUGGGAAAUCCCAAUGUAGGCAUGCAACAAAUUUACCAUGGAAAUUCAAAAUCCCAUGCCUCCACUAAAAAAAGACCAAGAAGAAUUAGGGUGUUGUCACAAAUUUUGGAUGUUCGUGUCUAAUGUCGGCAUAAGGAAUCCUAUAUUACAACACUGUAUUUAUACCACUGGAACAAUGAAAUGUAUUUAUAAGAUAGCAAAUCUGCCAGUGCUUACCUAUUGCAACAUACUUAUGAGAUUUCAUCCAACACAAUAUUCUAAAACCAACCACAAGUGUGGAGAUAUUUCAUACCUAUGGAUCGGUUGAUUAAAAAAUAACUCAAAUAAAUCUUCUUAUUAAACACCAAAAUGAUCUUUACCAUCGAAUCGGGAUUGAAGAAAAAGAAAGGAGUUACAUGCAAGAGAGGAAAAAGAAAUAUGAUCAUUUGUUCAUGAGACUUCAAAUUUAUGCCACGGAAUAGAAACACUGUGUUUUGACUCAUAUAAUUUCCAAUAAUCUCAUAAUUACAAUAGUCACAAGCAUCAACAAUCCUUAACAUCUAGAAAUAUGAUGAGGCAAGUUGUUUUAUAAGACCACGCUUACUAAAAUCAUAUACAUUCAUUCUGAAGUAGUUUAGUUGCUUUUGAAGAUUUGCAAGAACUACAAAUAAUGUUAAAACAAUUGAGUACGCUGAUCCAUUAGCACUGUAGAAUAGCAGGCACCAUUAGAAUUUUACCGCAACUCAAUGCAUAUAACUUACAAGAAAACCUGUUGUAAGUAAACGGUUUCUAAAGUCCAUACUGAAGAGGGUUCACGGAUAAUUACCCUGUAAUAUCACAUUUUCCCUCUAUAUCAAUUCCUCUAAAAAAGUUUACUACAAUUAAAAAUCAAUAAUAUUAUGAAGUUCUCAAAUUUCUAAGAGAGCUAUUGGGUAGCUAAUAUAUUUUGCAGCUUGGUUCCCAAUUAAAUCGUAAAUUCUCAUCUUCCCAAUAUGGUGGCCUAGCAAUCAAAUAGAUCAACUAACAGCUUGGGAACUAAGGUUCAAAUUAAUAUGAGAUAGCAAUAACAAAAUGAACAUGCAAUAGACUUGGAGAAAACUACCUUAAGUAAUUUUAGAUUCAUCGAUUUCCUCUUCAUCUUUUUUAGUCACAGUGAUGCUCUCCUAGCUCUCUAUUUUCUGUUUAUGGCUUUGAGCAUAUUUGGCAGUAAGUUCUUGUUCCUUCCUCUCAAUGUCGAAUUUAUUCAAAUUUCUUCAAACUCCUCAUCACAUUUUCAGCUCUUGACCUCUUUUUGCCUCAAGUUCACUUGGUUUCUUCAAAUAUCCUAAAUCAACUUUCCAUUUUAUUUUAAUGAAAAAAUGAAAAAAACCACGUUAAAACACGAACUCUAAACUAAAGCAAGCCAAAAUAACUACGAGAAGAGCCUCAAAUGAGUGGAACUCCACCACUCAUUAGCACCCCCAACUUAGAAACUUUGUUUGUCCUCAAGUAAAAAAAAUCAAAAACACAAGAGGCUCUUAUUUCAUUACACACAACAAAUCAAUUUCCCUUUCUCAAUUAAACACACAAAGGUAAUGGCUUCGGUUGGUAAUAACAAAUAUUCCACAUGCAAACUUUUCACAAAAGAAAUCCUCUCCUUCUCAUGGAACAUUUUCAAAAACCAUUUAAGUGACAACCACUCAAACUCAAGAAAUGACUCAACUCAUUAACUCUUUCGUAUGCUCACUUGACUCAAUUAGGAAUUUUCAAAAUUACAACUUUUUCAACUUACAUGCCAUCACAAGAAAGAAGUGUCCCAAAACAACACACACAUAUAAACAAGAUAAUGGGGCAAAGAUGCAACACUCACACUCACAAAGAAUCAUCUCAUACACACAUUUAAGUGACAACCACUCAAACUCAAGAAAUGACUCAACUCAUUAACUCUUUCGUAUGCUCACUUAACUCAAUUAGAAAUUUUCAAAAUCACCACUUUUUCAACUUACAUGCCGUCACAAGAAAGAAAUGUCCCAAAACCACACACACAUAUAAACAAGAUAAGGGGCAAAGAUUUAACACUCACACUCAAAAAGAAUCAUCUCAUGUACACAAAUGUCACAGCAUAGGAUUGCCCAUAUUUUUAAUCAACAUUGACUCACCUCCAUUUGGUUAGAAAUCUCAAAGGACUUUGGCAAGGUUGCAGUCUAAGCUUUGGGAAGGUAAGGAUAUUAUUUAGGUAUAAGUGACUACACCCUCCUUGAUCACUACACAACAACUCAUCAUUUCCAACUUUCUCCACUUUUCUUCACCUUUCAAACCCAUGCACAUUCCACACUAUUUUUCAUUUUUCUUUUCUUAUUUCCACUCUAGAUGUCCCACAUGAUACCCAUUUCAACUUUUGGAGGAUUCAAGUCUCAUUUAUUCAUUUUCUUUCUUUCUUUUCAAAGCCUUUUCAUUCUUUAAGACUUUCCAUCCAUCCUUUAAUUUCUCUAUUUUUUUUAUAUUAAGCCCUUAUGUGGUAAGCAUCCCUUCAAUGAAUUUCCUAUAACAACCCCAACUUAGACUUUUAGCCUCAACUUUCACAACCUCAAGUUCAAGGAGGAAAGGGUUCAAAAGAGGGUUACUUUUUCAAAAAGGAUAAGGCUUGUAAUGUGCUUGCCAAUAAAAAGCAUUAGGCUCAAAGGGGACAACUAAGGAUAUAUUUAGUGCAAAGGUGGGAUUUUUAGGCCAAGUGGACUUCAAUAACAUCAAAGAAAGCCUAUGAUCAUUUCUCCAACCAAACUAAAUCAAGCCCAACAUUUCAAGACCAACUGGAAAAGUUCUAGGUGACAAAAGCAAACACAAGGCAUUAUCAACAACCCACCACACAUGGCCUGCAAAUCAAUCAAGAUGGUUCAGAAUCUUACUUCCUUUUCAAAAUACAAGUAGCAUUGAACAUUUUAACCGCUAACGAUUCAAAAUUCACAAAACGAGUUGUAAGAGUUGUCACAAAAUCAUUCAUAACAUGCUCAACCUUUUAAAAAUAGAGAGGUAUGCUCAAAAUUAUUCACAUGCAUGACUAUGUUCUUAGCACCAACCAAGUCAAAACCUUCCUGAAUAGACUACGAUUUUUCCCUUAUAAAAGUUAACCAAUCCAUCAUCAGGCAACCUCAUGCAUAUCUUCCGGAAUGGUUACUCAAACUUCGCCCCAAUCAAUGCCAAUCAAACAAUCACAAGUAAUCAAUGAUUUACCCUUAAGGAAGUCGUCACUCUCUAUCCAUCAUUGGGUUUCAUCAAUUCAAAUUUUAUUAUCAAAACAAAAACAAAGAAGAUACAAACUACAAAUCAAAAACUAGAAUAGACCAAUCCAAUAACAUAUCAACAGAAACAUCCACAAUAUCAAAGUCCGACAAGGGCACAACAAUCCAUAACAAAGAAAGAAAAGUAUGCCCGAAAAGGAAACAAUCACAUUAUGCAGAAACAAUCAACAAAAUGACUACAAGGGUGGCAUCCCCAUCUCAAAAUGAGAUUGUGUCCUCACUUGGGGUAAAGUAAUCAUCAUAUUUUUAGGCACAUUUUUCCUAUAGGAACCUGCUCUCCUAAAAAACACUCUUCCUCCUCAAUUUCUGGAGCCAUUUCUUGAUCAUUCGAAUUGGUUUCGAAAGCCAUUUUUAGUUCCAAAAACCUAAAAAUGAAGCCAACAUGUCAAAAGUUCUUGUGGACGCUUGAAAAGUGUAUUAUGAAGUAUUUAAGCCAAACAAAUCAUCAAAAGAAGGUUCGAGCUAAGCUAUGCGAAGCUACUAUUUUGGGACUGCCAUCAUUGUCUCCUCCGUGUUCGCGGAGAAGUGUCGCGUUACUUGUCAUUCUGAGUACAAUUUGGCUGACCUACUAGUGGUUUAUAGUAGGUGUCAUCGUGACUUGGGAAGUCGGGUCAUGACACAAAUAUACUUUAGUUGAGUUGGAUAUGAAAUAAUCCAACACACUAUCUCCUUGUCUUUCUGUUAGAUGUAGAGUAAGAGGCUCCAUAUAUAGGUUAUUUUUCCUAUACGUCUUAUUGGCUGUUUAAUUUUCCGUUAUCCUUGAUUGCCCUAGUGUCAAGGCAGAUUGCGUAUACUUCCACCUCUUUAGGCAUUGCUCAUUCUUAAGGUUUGCUAUUAGAUAUGGUAUUCUAAAAGUUGUUGUUUGAUACUUCUAUGGUUUUCAUCCUCUAUAGAAUAUGGUGGUUUCCGUCUUACCAAAGCAAAAGAAUAGUUGCAUGUAAACUAUAAACAACUGGAAAAGUUUGAGAACGCAAAUGUCAUUAGGAAGUCGUUUGAUAGGAAAAAAUGAUCUUAGAAAAUAGUAAUUGAGCAUAAGAUGAAACUUACCAAAAUUUACUGUAAUGCUGAAAUACUUGGUAGCCCCAACAACAUGUGCCAAAGAACCUGUCAGAAAACUCAGCACCGAUUCUGCACUCAUAGCCUUCAAAUUGAUUAACAUUUAAAAAUGAAGUUUUAAGGGAGAGCUUCAUGGUGGCAGAAUAUCGACAACCAUAGUGCCUUAGUUCAAAUUCCCAAAAAAAUCACAUAUCCAAAUACCUGAGAGAAGUACAAAGACCUCCCUGGAUGGUCAUGAAGACCUGCAUAAUUAACCUUCUUCACUAGUGGAUGGGAAGAUAAAUAUUCAGUAAUAUUUGUGCAUUCUCCUGUAAGAUUUUGAAAUUAUUUAGUUAGAACACUGUGAUAUGGUAGAAUUUUACGAACCAACCUAACUUCUCAGCACAAUAUAAAGAUGAAGAUGCGGCAAUAUUCAUGCUAUAAUCAAGAAAAUCUAUAGGUUCAAGAAUAAUAGAUUAACAAAGUGCAAAGACCUCCCUGGAUGGUCAUGCAGCCCUGUAUAAUUGAUCUUCUUCACUCGUGGAUGGGAAGAUAAAUCUUCAGUAACUUUUUGUGCAUUCUCCUGCAAGAUUUAUGAAACUAGCCAAAAUUGAUUGUAAUGCUGAAGCCUCGGCAACAUUCUUAAAGAGUAGCGCAAUAACUGUCAGUAAACUCUGCACUGAUCCUGCACCCAUAGCGUGCAAAUUUGAUCAACAUUUAAAUAGUAAGUCUCAAUUGAGAGCUUCAUGGUGGCAGGAUAUCGACAACCAUAGCGCCUUAGUUUAAAUUCCCAAAAAAAUCACUUGUUUGAAUAUGUGAGAGAAGUGAAAAGACCUCCCUGGAUGGUCUAGAAGACUUGCACAAAUGACCUGCACUCGUGGAUGGGAAGAUAAAUAUUCAACAAUUUUUUGUGCAUUCUCCUACAAGAUAUUGAAAUUAAUUAGUUAAAACACUGUGGUGUACCAGAAUUUUACGAACCACCCUAACCUCUCUGCACAAUAUUACGAUGAAGAUACAAUACUAUGCAUGCCAUAAUCAUGAAAAUCUAUAGGGUCAAGAAUAAUAGAUUAACAAAGGUGCAUGAAGGCAUAUAUGUUUCUAGAACGAGUGGUGGGACAACUAAUUUCACCACCAAAAUAAACAAAUAAAAUUAAACCUGUUAUAUUUCACUGCGAAGAGUCAUUGGUUUGAAUCAUAUCAAACAAAGCUAACAAUCGAAUGGCGCUAACCCUGGACCUUCAGCAUUUUGUAGGAAGUACACCUCCUUCGUCAAGCUUGCCAAGUAGGAAAAUUUAGGGAAAAGGGUCAAAAAUACCCUCAACUUUGUUUUAUUGGUUGACUAAGCCCUUGCCGUGAAAAUGAAGUUAGGUUUACCCCUACCGUUACUAAUUUAACCAUAUAUACACCUCAUUUGACGAAAAGUCCGAAAUUGACUCAAAUUAACCAAUUUGAAUUGAAAUUACCCGAUUUCCUAUUUUUGACCCAAAUUCGAAUCCAACCCACAAACCAAAACUCAUGAACAAAUUAAAUCCCAAAAUCAAUUUCUUCUUCUUCUUCCUCCCUGAAUAAAAAAAAAUAUUUUCAUCUCCUUACUCCAUAUAAACAUCAUACAUUUGCAACAACAUAUAUUCUUGUGAGCCAAUAUUAAUGGUGGAUGAGAGUGAUGAGCAAUUGAAGAAGACUAUAAAUGCAAAUGUGGAAAAUGGUAUUUCUGCAAAAUCUAAACUUGGUUCUUCUUCUAGUGAUCAAGUUGAUACACAAACCUCGGAUUCAUCGAAUGGGGUUGAAGAAAGUGAUGAAGAAAUGUGGAUGGGGCAGUGGAAACAAAUUUCAGGUGAUAAAGAAGUUAAAUUUUCGCAAAAAUUGGGCGUUCCUGUUGUUGACAAUUACUAAUGGUUUUUUGUUUGGUGAAUUUAGAGAAUUGGAUGAUCUUAGUAUUUAUGUUUGAGAUAACUAUAGUUCCAUAAAUAUUAUGUUCUAAACUUGCAGCAAUUUCCAGUGAUUAGUUCCAAUUUGUGAAUAUUAACAGGGGUAAUUGCAAGUCAAUGAUUAAGUGUUCAUGUGUUAUGGAAUUUGUUGUAAUGAUUAAAAUUUUGAAUGCAGCAAUAGGGAUUUGAUCCUCAAAUAAUAAUAAAAAAAUCUUCCAUCCGCAAUAAGUGAAAUUUUUUUCAUCUUCUUUAGAUUUUCUUAUUUUUGGAGAUUGAUUUGAAUUUGUAAGGUUAGUAGUUGAUUUAGAUGAUUUAAAAUGAUAUAUUUGUUUGGGUUACUUUUUUGUUGGGUCGGGUGUGGGUUAGAAUAGGGAUGAUGAUUUUUUUUUUUUUGGGUAAUUUACUCUGAUUUGGGAUUUUCCGUCAAAUGAGGGAUACAUAUGGUGAAAUUAGUAAUGGUAGGGGUAAAACUAACUUCAUUUUAACGGAAAGGGCUUAGUCAACCAAUAAAACAAAGUUGAAAGGUAUUUUUGACCCUUUUCCCAAAAAUUUAUAACCAAAUUAUCAGGACACUUGAGAUGUUCAAAGAGAUACAAGGCAUCAGACAUCACUUACGUUCAUUACGCUAAACACAACUAACUAAAGAUUAUCAGAUAUAGACUUGUCAAUGAACUGAUUUCUUAUACUUUACUUAACUUUAUCAGCAACAACAAAAAGAAUUCUUAAACUUCAUGGCCAAUUAUGAGGGCUUCCAAUGCAUUAAGGAAAAAAAUUUCAAUGUCAUGAAGUAUUACACAAAUUUGUGCAUUAUAGGUGUAUAGGAUGCUGCAUAGUAGCUGAAUGCAUCACAAUAUCUACAAAACCAUGGACAAGUAAGCUAACAUCCGAUGCAUGUUAUUUGAGAGUAUUCCAGUUAGCGGAACAAAAAGUAUUUGCAAAAUACCUGCUUUGAGCUCCAAAGGAUGAAACGGUACUGGGACACAGUAUUGUUAUCUACCAACAUAAGAUCACCAUGUGCAUGAGCCAUCUUGGAAAUUUUCUGUAAUAAAUCAUAAAAGACAAUAGUAUGAGACAAAAACAUCAUUUUCUUUAGAAGAUGAAUCAAUAAAUACUAUCUAUGAUUAAUAGUAAAAGUUGAAAACUAUACAUGGACAAUCUACAUAUGCCAUUGUCAAUCACCCACAAAAAUAUCACAAAUUUGUUUAUGAGUGUUGGUCACAAAUUUUGUGAAUGGUUUAAUCACAGAAGCAACCUCAUCUAAGUUAGUGGUAUCCACUUGCCUAUACAAAUAAGAUGACAAUCAAGAUUCUAAUAACCUAAUUGAAAAAAAAGAUACAACGACAAUAAAGAUUCAAAUCAUUGUCCCCUCCGCGUUGGUGGAGGAGUGCUGCGUUACUUGACGUUCUGGGUAAGGGUUUGCUUACCUAUUGGUGGGCUACAGUAGGUGCUAUCGUGACUCGGGAAGUUGGGUCCUGACUCAAAUAUACUUUAGUUGAGUUGGAUAUGAAACAGUCCAACACACUAUCUCCUCGUCUUUCUAUUAGAUUUAGAGUAAAAGGCUCCAUGUCUAGGUUAUUUUGCCUAUGCUUCUUAUUGGUAAUUCAGUUUUCCCCUAUCCAUGAUUGUUCUAGUGUCAAGGAAAAUUGUCUAUGCUUCCAUCUCUUUAAGCAUUGCUCAUUCUUAAGGUUUUCUAUAAGAUGUGGUAUUAAAAAAGAAACAAGGCAUCAUACAUUAUUUACGUUCAAUCGCUAUACAUAACUAACUAAAGUUUUAAGAUAUAAAUUUGUCAAUGAACUAAUUUCUUGAACUUCACUUAACUUUCUAUCAACAAUAACAAAAAGAAUUCUUUAACUUCAUAGUCAAUUAAGUUUCAAUUAGAAAAUGUAAUGAGGAUAAUCAUCAGAUUACCUGGAAAGGUAACUCCACCAGUUUAAGCAGAUUUGCGAACUGUUGCAGAACCUGAUGACUAGCAAUCCUUCUUUUCAGUGAAGCGCACCCAAGAAGAUGCAGAACAACAGGAAAAAAUACAACUCUUAGAAGAAUUUUGACUUGUGACGCUACUUAUCUGCCCACGGCGUUUACCACCUUUCAGUUGCUGAAUGUCCCCAGAUAUACACUCAAGUAAACUUGGUACUGUUGAUGCGACAACCAUCCCAAGUGCAUCUAAACACUGCUUCACAACGACAUUCUUCUCAACCAAUCUAUCAACGGUCGAGAGCAAUUUAGCAAUUCAAUAACAUAGUGGUAGCCACCUCUUCCUAUUCAUAUAAAGUAGAUCCACAAAUAUGAGUGCCUUUCCAUUCAAAACUGCAAUUCCCCGCAAAAUUAGAGUCAACAGAUACAGAACAAGAUUCUUGUCUUCGACCAAGGCAAGAAGGUACCUUCCAACACUUGGAAGUGUAUGACUUUUCAAUUGUCAGCCAAGCAAGACCUUGUUGUCAGCCUCAUGAUCUGCUGCUUUCCAAGAGCCCGAAAUAUGUAGCAUAGGUUAGUAAUGACAUCUUGGCUGGUGAAACAAGCUGACCAAAACCAUCCUUGACUGGAGAUAUUUUCAAUUGUCCUCAGAGCAUAAACUUGAGUAAUGUCAUCCUCUUCGUUUCGUAGAAGUGAUGAAACCAAUGAAAUUAUUGGGCUUGUAACCUACAACAUUAAUAUUUUCAUAAAGGAAUGUUAAGAUAGGAUGUGAGGCUUGGCAAUAUGUAAAGAUAGUACAUAUUGUAUGAUUUUAUCUUAGUUUUUCCACAACCCCAAGAGAAAUAUCUUAACACACUUGUUUAUUUUACUGCUAUAUAGUGUUGCAUUACAAUGGAAUUUCAAUCUUAUAAGUUCAUCCAGUUCACUAAUUAAAAGAUAAAUGGUUUUUAACCCAUUAAUAAGUAUACCAUUUAUAUCCUAGUGACAAGUUGCAUUAUUUCUCAUAAGAGAUGCAUUGGUGCUAGAACUGCGUUUCUGACAGUGCCUAUGCUUUUAAGUGAUUGAUCUUAGAACACUUAAUACUUACAACCUAAUUGCAAUAUAGCUUAGUAAUUUAUUGUGUAGAGGAUUUUUAACAAAUAUAACACUCCAUCCAUUUCAAUUUGUUUGUCCUACUUUCCUUUUUUGUCUGUUUCAAAAACAAUGCGUCUUCUUUUUUUUGGCUACUCUUAGAUUUAAGAACAUUUGGUACAUUCUACAUAUGUUUAGUUUAGAUUCACAAUAUUCAAAAGACUUCUUUACUUUCUUAAACUCCAUGCCAAGUCAAAACAAGACAAAAAUUAAUAUGGAGGGAGUAACAAACUUGACAAGCUGCACCAAUAAGAAGUUACAACAACAAAGAUACCUGCCAACAGGAUGAGGGUCAGUUGUCCUUUGAUGGAGAUUCCAUUGGUUUAUUAUCCCGGGCAUGCUCAUUUUGAGUAGAUAUAUAAAAUAAUAAUUAGCCCAAAGAAGCCAUGGAAAACUUUUGCACUUUCUCUUGCCUGUCUCGCAGACCAUUAGUUAGUGCACCUAAUAUUCCAGAAUUUGCCAGCUCAUCCCCAAAAAAAGUAGAGUGAAGAAUCAACAAGCCAAUAAGUUAAGCAAGUUGAGCAUGCAACAGAAAAACCUUGGAGUGACGAAGGAUUUUGACUAGAACCUACACAAUAGAGUCAUUGGUCAAGAUGUUGGCUGCAUCAGCAUUGCUGCUCAAAAAGCUCAAGGUAUCUGAUCACAUUUUGCUUCUCCCAUGAGGGAAUAUUCCCAUUAAUAAUGAUGAUUCUACUAUUCUUUUGCUCCUUUGAAAUUUUGAUAAAAUUAGAUAGUUGAGGUGGUGCGUAAAAUGAAAGUGAAGGAAUUGCAUCUGAACCUUUAUCUAAUUUUCUGCGAGGCAUUACAGGUGAGACUGAGAAAUUAGAUGGAUGCCAAAUAAUAUCUGAAAGGUUCAUAGAUGGUUUUGAGAUAUCAGAGAAAUCAUUUUUUAUAAGAACUACAAGACGAAAAGGAAGGAUGAUUGAACUUUAACGUCAUAUAACUGGUAGGAAGGUGCUUUUUAUAUAUCACUCAAUUUUCUUGCUAAUCCAAAAUAACACAGCUGCCAGGAAACAAAUAGAACUUUAAUGUCAUAUAACUGGUAAAAAGCACUCAUCGUGAUGUGGAAAAGUCACAACAUGAAGAUCACCAUACUUUCGUGAUUCCAUUUUCAUCCAACAGGAUGUUUGAUAGCUUUAAGUCACAGUAAAUUAUUCCCUUUGAAUGCAAGUAUCUGGCAUAGUAGACAAAACACCAAAAAAUAAUUCAUGCCGAAAACAACAAGUGUUACAAAAGAACAAUGAAGGCUAAAGUUACUAACUUACAAAAGAGCUCUAACAAGGCCACAAGCAAGUUUGUGUGUUGAAUAUUCAGGAAGCUUACGAUCUUCAACCAGAGAUUAAAAGAUAUUAAAAUCUCCCAGGUGUGGUUUAAACUAAAAUACAGGUAAGAUGAUGCAGAUGCAAGUUGUUACAUUACCAACUACAGUAAACAGGGUCAUUUUGACUACUCUUUAAAUACAAAUAAAAAAAGCAAAAGAGCUCUAACAAGGCCACAAGCAAGUUUGUGUGUUGAAUAUUCAGGAAGCUUACGAUCUUCAACCAGAGAUUAAAAGAUAUUAAAAUCUCCCAGGUGUGGUUUAAACUAAAAUACAGGUAAGAUGAUGCAGAUGCAAGUUGUUACAUUACCAACUACAGUAAACAGGGUCAUUUUGACUACUCUUUAAAUACAAAUAAAAAAAGAAACCUAUUUCUUUCACAUCAUUUUGUUGGGACAAAAACAAGUUACCUUUAUUUGUGAGACUACAAACAACUCUAUUAAAGUUAUCAAUCGCACAUGACACUGAUGUCCUUAGUGCCUGUUUGGGAAAUCCCAAUGUAGGCAUGCAACAAAUUUACCAUGAAACAUCAAUAUCCCAUGCCUCUACAAAAAAAUUGACCAAGAAGAAUUAGGGUGUUGUCACAAAUUUUGGAUGUUCGUGUCUAAUGUCAGCAUAAGGAAUCCUAUAUGCCAACACAGUAGUUAUACCACUGGAACAGUGAAAUGUAUUUAUAAAAUAGCAGACCUGCCAGUGCUUACCUGCUGCAACAAGCUCAUGAGAUUUCUUCCAACAAAAUAUUCUAAAUCCAGCCACAGGUGUGCAGAUGUUUCAUACCUAUGGAUAGGUUGAAUUAGAAAAUAUGUCAGAGAAAUCUUCUUAUUACACACCAAAAGGACCUUUACCACAGAAGCAGAAUUGAAGAAAAAGAGAGGGGUUACGUACAAGAUAGGAAAAAAAUAAAUCUCACCAGGAGUAGAACUUUAAUACAGUUUCAUGAUCUAUAGAAUGAAGAAUUCUGACCUGUAGCAAAUGUAGCCAUAGAAGAAUAAGUACAUGAAUAGAGGAAACUGAAGGAAAUAGAUUUUAAGAAAAGAGGUUGGGGUUUUUGAUCAUUUGUUCACGAGAAUUCAAUUUUAUACCACGGAAUAGAAAGACUGUGGUAUGACUCAUAUAAUUUCCAAUGAUCUAAUAACUACAAUAGUCACAAGCAUCAACAAUCCUUAACAUCUAGAUAUAUGAUGAGGCAAGUUGUUUUCUAAGACCACGCUUACUAAAAGCAUAUGCAUUCUGAAGUAGUUCAGCUGCUUUUGAAGAUUUGGAAUAACUACAGAUAAUGUCAAAACUAUUGAGUAAGCUGAUCCAGUAGCGCUGUAGAUUAGCAAGCACCAAUAAAAUUUUACCGUAAAUCAAUGAAUAUAACUUACAGAACAAUGUGUUGUAAGCUGACAGAUUCUAAAGUCCAUACUGAGGAGGGUUCACGGAUAAUUACCCUGUAACAUAACAUUUUUCCUUUAUAUCUAUUCCUCUAAAAAAGUAGACUACAAUUAAAAAUCAAAAGUAUUAUGAAGUUCUCAAAUUUCUAAGAGAGCUAUUGGGUAGCUAAUAAAUUUUGCAGCUUGGUUCCCAAUUCAAUCGUAAAUUAUCUUCUUCCCAAUAGGGUGGCCUAGCAAUCAAAUAGAUCAAGUAACAGAUUAGGAACUAAGGUUCAGAUUUCACAAUAGACGAUACUUGGUGAUAUCUUCUCAUCUACCUAAACCUUGAUGUGCAUAGUUAAACAGAUAGUAAUAUGUACUACAACAUACGGUGGCCCAGAUACUAAUGUUAUCAAGAGGAUAAAUUAGGCACUGCCACAGUUUUAUCAUCAGAGGUGCAAGAAAAUACAGCUAAGGGUCCAUCGAAAACAAUCUAAUCACUCUACCUCCAAAGGUAAGGAUAAGGUCGGUUUACAGUCUAUCCUACUCAAACUCCACUUUAUGACAUUAUGUUGUGUACGUUGUUGUUGUUGUAGGUGAAAUCAAAUUCAAACGUGAAGCUCUAGUUCCCUCCGCCAUAUGUUUUUUCAAAAUGAGAACCUUGUCAACAAAACAUAAAAUAGUAAUAACAGAAUGAUAGGCAAUAAUCUUGGAGAAAACUACCUUUAGUACUUUCAGAUUCAUUGAUUUUAUCUUCUUCUUUUCCAGUCAGGGUGAUGCUCUCCAAGCUCUCCAUUUUCUAUUAAUGGCUUUGAGCAUUUUUGGCAGCAAGUUCUUGUUCCUUCCUCUAAAUGUUGAAUUUAUUCAACUUUUCUUUAAACUCUCAUUGCAUUUUCAGCUCUUGACCUCUUUUUGCCUCAAGUUCACUUUAUUUCUUCAAAUAUCCUAAAUCAACUCUCCAUUUCAUUUUCAUGCCAACAUGAAAAAAAAACACAUUAAAAGCACCAAUUUUAAACUAAAGCAAGCCAAAAUAACUAUGAAAAGAGCCUUAAAUGAGUGGAAAUUCCCCACUCAUCAUCACUCCCAACUUAGAAACUUUGUUUGUCUUUGGGUAAAGAAAAUCAAAAACACAAAAGGAUCUUAUUUCAAGACACACCACAAAUCAAUUUCCCUUUCUCAAUUAAGCACACAGGUAAUGGCUUCGGUUGGUACUAACAAAUAUUCCACAUGCAAACUUUUCACAAAUGAAAUCAUCUCAUUCUCAUGAAACAUUUUCAAAAACCAAGAAUCAUUUAAGUGACAACAACUCAAAUUCAAGAAAUGACUCAACUCAUUAACUCUUUCAUAUGCUCACUUGACUCAAUUAGGAAUUUUCAAAAUCACCACUUUUUCAACUUACAUGCCCUCACAAGAAAGAAGUGUCCUUAUACCACACACACAUGUAAACAAGACAAGGAACAAAGAUGCAACAGUCACACUCACAAAGAAGCAUCUGAUGCACACAAAUGUCACACCAUAGGCUUCCCCAUAUUUUCAAUCAACACUGACUCAACUCCAUUUGGUUCGAAAUCUCAAAGGACUUUGUCAAGAUUGUAAUGUAGACUUAAGGAAGGUAAGGAUAUUAUAUAGGUAUAAGUGACUACACCUUCCUUGAUCGCAACACAACAACUCCUCAUUUCGAACUUUCUCCACUUUUCAAACCCAUGCACAUUUCACAAUAUAUUUCAUUUUUCUUUACUUAUUUCCACUCUAAAUGCCCCACAUGCAACCAUUUCCAACUUUUGGAGGAUUCAAGACUCAUUUAUUCAUUUUCUUUCUUUCUUUUUUUCAAAGCUUAUUCUUUCUUUAAGACUUUCCAUCCAUCCUUCAAUUUCUCUCUUCUUUUUGGUUUUUUUUUUUACAUGAAGCCCUCAUAUGGUAAGCAUCCCUUCGAUGAAUUUCCAUAACAACCCCAACUUAGGCUUUUAGUCUCAACUUUCACAACCUUAAGUUCAAGGAGGGUAGUUUUCUUUCUUUCUAUUUCAAAGCUUAUUCUUUCUUUAAGACUUUCCAUCCGUCCUUCAAUUUCUCUUCUUUUUUUCUUUUUGUUUUUACAUCAAGCCCUCAUCUAGUAAGCAUCCCUUCAAUGACUUUCCCAUAACAACUCCAACUUAGCCUUUUAGCCUCAAGUUUCACAACCUCAAGUUCAAGGAGGGAAGGGUUCAAAAGAGGGUUACUUUUUCAAAAAGGAUAAGGCUUGUAAUGUGGUUGCCAAUAAAAAGGAUUAGCCUCAAAGAGGACAACUAAGGAUAUAUUUAGCGCAAAGGUGAUAUUUUUAAGCCAAGUGGACUUCAAGAACAUCAAAGAAAGCCUAAGAUCAUUUCUCCAACCAAACUCAAUCAAGACCAACAUUUCAAGACCAACCG